Molecule: long non-coding RNA, 56699 nt
Filed under: Volvox carteri
Lineage: Eukaryota; Viridiplantae; Chlorophyta; Chlorophyceae; Chlamydomonadales; Volvocaceae
Description: long non-coding RNA (VCAR_LNC001931)
Source: RNAcentral
CCUCAACCUCCUCUGGCGAUUUUGUCCCUACCGUCAUUUCCCCAUGUCUUCAUCACCAGCUGAGUACACCCGAACAUGGGAGAACUUCUUCCUUCCAUGGGGGGUCCCCCGUCUGGCUGACAUAUAGGUUAUCGGGAGUUCCCCUAACGCCUCCCAUACCCAUGUGGGCACCUCGUGUGUUGGAUGUCGGCACUACAGCGCUUUGCAUAUCGCACAUACCAGAAUCCCCUACCUUAUUACUCCCAUAUCCCAUAUAAGCCACAUGUGCACAUUUGUAGGCAUGAGGCACAGCGAGGUGCCCUGGCAGUACGACACCGCCAGGCCGCUCCCGCCCCCGGAGCACCCUCCGCAUCUAGUCUACUUGCCACAGGGGCUGCUCAGCAGUCGUACGGCAUUCGCGGCGCUGCACGCGCGCUGCCUGGCCCAGGGCCUAGCGCUCAAGGUUGUAACGGCGGCCUCCACUCCAAACCUACAAGUAGUGGUGAGACCAAGAAGCGUGCCACGAGGUAGAAGCGAUCAAGCGAAGCGAUUCAUGUGAAGCGAUUCAUGUACCACCCUCGCGAUCUGGAUUAUAAAGCUCCUCACAAUCGUUUGCAAGUGUGAACACUAGGGCUGGGAUUUCUAGCUCGGAGCCGGGAGCCACAGCCGGCGGGGACUGCUGGACCGGGGGACGUUGGACCGUACUUUUUGAGCCAUGGGAAACGAGGGUCCAUGCGCGUUCAUGCAGUGCUGUCUUAUUUGCUGGGUCCAUGGAGGUGCGUGCUUCCCGCGUGAGCGGAAGUCCUCCUGCUCACUCUGUCUUGCUGCAUGCCGGCCCCCUUUUUCUUAUCUUGAAGCUACCCUUGGAGAAUCCUGCAGCCUUCCCACAUUUGCAAUCCCAACUUGGCCAUCCAUUUGUGUGUGUGUGUGUGUGUCGUUUGCCCACCCCUCCUCGCAUUGCAGAUGCUCUUAGUGGCCGCCCACAGGCAGACCCACCAUUACCAACCGCCUAUGGCGGCAGCAGUACCAGCAGCGGGAGCAAGUAGAGGGGACAUUCCUCCAUUGCGCUCUUCCAUGUCGGCUCCUGCUCAGCCGCAGGCAUCUCUCACCAAUCCGACCGGGGACCCGAACAUCAAUAACCACCACAGCCGUCCUCCUCACCAAGACCAUCAACAACACCAUCAUCACCAGCAGCAACAGGAGAUCUUGUAUCCUUCUUGUCGUCCUUACCAGCCCAGCAGCGACCCCAGUAGCUGCCUGGGUGGCCCUCGUGAGGCGGGGAUGGUAUCAGGGGGCGGCGUAUGCGUGGCAACGGUGGUGAUGGCAGCGGGAACGGCGCCCUCGCCCACAGCUCCAGGGGGGUUGGAGGCGACAGCACCCCCUGAGGCCUCCGGGCAGCCGCCGCAGCAGCACGAAAGCCAACGGAGAGGGCUGAACGGCGGUGUGGGUGGUGCCGGCGCAGCGGCGGUGUCGGUGUCACCUACUCUGUCUGCGAUGCCGACAUCUACGCCGAUAUGGGACCAGCAGCUGCCGACUCAGGCGCUUACCGCAGAGGCGAAGGCGGGGACGGCCCUUGCGACAGUAAUGAGCAAUGCGACAGUGCAGAUGGCUGGAGCUGCUGGAGCAGGUCCAGCGGCAGCUGCCGGGGCAAUGGUUGCCGGGGUUGGGGCUGGGGACUCGGCAGCGGCAGCGGUGGUGACACCAGUUCCAUCAGCAACAGGAGGCGAGGAUGGUGUUGGCGUUGGGUGGUGGUCCACCAUAGGGCAGCCGGGAGGAGGAGUCGCCGCCACGAACCCUGUGAAUGGAGGAGGAGGGCGAGGAGGAGGAGGGCGGGGAGGGGGUCAGCUGUGCUUUUAUGCAUAUUUUGUGCCAUACAAACCGGGACGCGACCUGCGGCCCGACCAGCCGUGCAACGGCUGGUGGAAACGGCGCCUGGGCGAGCGUCGCAACCGUGACCGGGUGGGCGAACUAGCUCAAGCUCCACACAGGAUAUAGGGAUUCCCUUCACCGGCUUCUUUCGUGCCUUUUGCAUUAAUCUUGAUUUGCUGUCGGCCCAGUGUCCCCACACCGCGCUUUUGGCUUACCAUUUGCUCAGCGCGACUCUUCUUCGUCCUCUCGCCUGGUUCUCUAUGAACGCACACUUUCCAAGAAAAACUGUCGAUUUGACGCAUUUCCCCUCAUGCUUGUGUACUCUUUUCCUCGUUCUGUGACUCCCUGUCAUCCCCUUUCUCCUUUUACCCCUUCGAUUCUUCUUUUCCCGUCUUGCCCACUUCCUCAUCGCCCUCUUUCUGCACCCCACCAUCCUUUCCCCGCCAGGACAAGGACGUGUUGGCCUGGCGCCAGGACUUGCGGCUCCUGGGUCCCCGGCGACCCGACGGCCUGCCCUUGGGAGAGGCGCGUGUAAGGCUGCAGGGCUACUGGGACAGCUCCACGUCGCUGUGCAGGGGCGCGGCGGCGCCAGGGAAGAUGCAGUCUGGCUGGGAUUGGGUUGGUGGCAGCUCAUCCCUGCAGUUGCACUGCUGCCAGGUGACGUCAGUGCUGCCGGAGACGGUGUUCAUGUACUCCAUGCUGCCCUGGUGGCGUAAGCCGGACGACUUGCAGGUGAUGAGGGAGGGCUGGUUGCUAGCUGCUUCACCUGCACAGGUGCACGUCGCAUGGAUGUUGUGGGAAUGUAUGCAUAUAUGUUGUUAACUAUGAUCGUAUAUGUGUUGUGGGGUCUGGAAUCAGUUUGCUUGUAACUUGUUCCUGUGUAAGAAAGAGUUGAGUUAGUGAGCCUGCUUACAUACAACGUACACGUGAGUGGGACCUCCGUGCACGACCAAUUACUUCAUAGCACAGCAGGAUUGAUGUAAAUAGCGUGAGAUAUGGACGUGCCAGCAGAGCGAGUCGCAAAGGGGGUUUUCAUAUAGUGUAUAGAUAUGCUGCCCAACAACUUGUACCUGAUGUAUUCCGGGCAUGUCAAGGGAUCUGCAUCCGCUGAUCGGUACCUUUCUGUAGCAAACCCUGUUGUAGUCGUGAUAUCACUGUAUCUCUGCGUAGGCCAGCCAGGUUUUCGGCAGUUAGGCCCAAUAAGGAGGCAGGCAUGGAGGUGAAGCAGCUUCAAAGCUGCUAGUUCCUAGUUGUUGGUCCUGCUGCCUGUAUGCUGUAUUUCGUGUCCAGACGCAUGCGUAUGCACCUAACGUGCGCCCCGGCCAUAUACAGGGACGCUGUGUGUAUAAGAGACAACUAACAAAGCAACCUGGGCUGCAGAUAGAUAAUUGCAUGUAGUGCACAUGGAUGCACACCAGCGUCCACCAGUGAAUCUUUGCGCUCUAGCAUACAUAACGACGUAGGGAUUAUCGACCCCUACCACACCCCAGCUGACUGGGGAGAGGACCAGCGGCUGUGUUUCUGGUGUACAUGUGUACUGUAGAUAUACAUACGUACCUAUCUGAUAUCUACCUAUUUGGGACGUAGAGUCUUCGGCCCCCUGGCCCCCUCAGGGCUCCAGGUAUGGGGCCCCCCAGGGUUACAAGGUGUAUAACACAUGUAGGAAUAUACACGUGUACGCAUGCAUAUCUACAUAUCUACACAUACAUACGCACAUACAUACACACAUACAUACAUACAUACCUCCUGCAAGGAGGAAGGGAUGUAAAGUUACCGCAGCACAUAUGUAGGCGGGACACGUACCUACGUCAUAUAGCGCCUCACGCAGGGCUGUGGCCCUGGGCAGGGGGUUCGUUCAGGUUGUGUCCCACCCCAAGAGAGCCUGAUGAUAGAUGGAGGCGUGGAUGGCCCCGUUGUGUAGCUUGCCCUUACACGCAUCCAACCAUACCAGCCGCUCUCGCCAAUCAACACAGGGCACCUUGGAGCCGGUGAUGGCGCACCUGCACGACGGCUUCCUGCGGGAGUGCCAAUGCGCCGCGUGGGAGUGUGGGAAACUCAGGUAGGCGUGAUAAGAUAGAGGCAAGGUGGGGCGGUAGUGGAUGUGUGUGUGUGGUGUGGUGGGAGGGGUCGACAACUCCGGGACUGCUGAUUGGGAGUAUUUCGAGAGGAAGUUUAAGUUGCAGAUCGAUUAUAAGUCUAGAAGCUUCCCUGGUAUUAUGUACAACAGCAGAGCAUUCCUUGCGCACUUGUUGAGACGUUGCGUGUGGACAGUGCGAAGGAGGUCAAGAGGGUUUCAUCCCCCCGCUACGAGGAUGCCGUGGAGGAUAUCCCGUGGAGAAUGAAAUCUUACGGAUUAGCGCUUAUACUCGGGGUGAUGGCAGGCGCGGAAGAGGGGCUCAAGUUGCAGUUUCGUUGAGCUAUGCAUUUUAUGCGGGCUGCUACUGCUGAACCCCUGGCAGGUUAUGCAGGUGGGUAGGGGUUGAAGCAGUGGACCUGGAUUGCCCCGCUGCUGUACGAUUCCGUCCCAAACCAUCACCCCGGCUGCCACACCCUCCAGCUCGAAACCUCAAAUCCCAAAGUUCUCGGAGCAAACGGGUUCUCGCCGGCAGACAGACAGACAGACAGAUUUUUUCAGCACAUCGUACUGGCUGUCAUUUUUCCCUAUUUGUUGGUCUUCAAUCCGUUUUCUGCUUUCCUUUAUACCUUUUUGCCUCUCCCCUUCGUUUCCUCUUCUUUCAGCGGAUUGUCCUCCUUUCCACUCCUCUCUCCUCCCCGCGUAUUCCUCCUCUUGCCCAUCCUUCUGUUUCCCGAUUUGGGUCACUCACUCCUGGCUUCGCUUGUCUCUUUCGUGCUUCCCUCUACUCGUUUUCGUCCAGGCAACGCAUCCACUCACUUCUACCAACCCAUCUACCUGUGCCUAUCAGGGCACGUCAGGCACUUCGUCAUGUUCGCGAGCAUGGAGUGCAGUACAUGUUGGAGGUGCGGGCAGGGGAGCGGCUGGGCGCAGGCCAGCUGGGGGUGUUUGCGGGGGAGGCCAUUCCCGCGGACACCUACCUGUUCGAGUACGUGGGAGUGUGGUUGCCCAGGGGCGAGGUGGGUUGAGUGGGUGUUGUGUUGUGCUGGGUUGGGGUGAGGUGGGGUGGGUGACGGUGCCGCGUGGGGUGGGGUAGCCAUCGUGUGUAUACGAAUGUACGCCAAAUGCAUGAGUCGCUAUGUCAGUACCGUCAAGGGUUGGGUGGCCGGGUGUAAAAAAGUGGACGGCUAGGCAUCCGGAUUGGACAAGAUCACGAUUUGAGCGACCCAGCAAGAGUGCAGGGGAGUGGUGGGGGCCCACUGCACAUUUGGGGUGGAGUGGUUGGGUGGGCUCACACUUGUAUGGUAGGAAUAUGCCCAGACGAGGGAUAGCCCCGAGAGAAGAAAGAGCUGGGGAGGGAGCAAGCAAAGGAAUCUGAGGGAAAGCACACUGCAGAGGAAUAGCCGUAGCGACAGUCGAAUCAAGUGAUAAGGCUGCCAGCAAUAAUGCCUGAUGUCUGUUGUGAGGGUGUCCGUCUCGUCACGAGCAAGUUGCCAGAUUGGUAAGAAGGACAGAGGCAAGCAGGGCAGCCCGUGGCGGCGACAGCAGCCGUGUCAUGGCAUCAUCAUCAGUAAUAACGGAAGGGAUAGCGAUGGUGGCGGUGGCGGAGCUGCAGCGCUUCCCGCGCUCACACCACUCGGUCGUGCAGCGCUUCAACCAUCACGGAAAGGUUACAAUGCCCUGAGAUCUGCAUGCAGAUGCACAUGGGUUCUUCCCUCCUACAAACGGAUGUAUCUAUCUGCCCCUAUGUGUCUCUUUUAUUGAUCCACCUGCAUGUGGUGUAUAACGCUGUGUUGUAUGCCGUACUCGAUCUUAUGCAGCCGGAGAUGCUUGAGGAGGUGUAUGAGCCAGCAGGGUUGCAUUACCUGUACGACCUUAGUCACCGGUACGAGCUUCCCAGCGACAGGGAUGCACGGCGCGCCAAUGGCAGUAGCGCCGGCGGCGGUGUCACUGAGGUCAGCUGUGCCGCCGGUGGCGUUGGGACCAGCAGCGGCCGAGACAGGAAACGCCGCGCCGACCGGGCAACUUCUGCUGCCGCUGCUUGUGGGGAUGCUGAAGAUGACGGCGAGUCGGCUUACAUUCCUGUGGUGGUGGAUGCUACACAGCUGGGUAAUGUGGCUCGCUUCGUAAACCACCUAUGUGAAGGCGCAAACCUGGUGUCGGUCAACGUGUGCAUGGGUGGGUGUGCAUGGGUGGGUGAGUGGGCCGGGGGUGGGCGGUUUAAAUGAGGGUUAGAUGUGGGGAUGAAGGGCGGGGUGUCAUAGGGCUUGGGGGAGUGCAAUGAAGGGGUAAGGGGCCUGAGGGCGGGGCCGGGGUAAGGGUAUAGCGUGUGCGGGAGUAGGGGACCCCGCGGUGGUGAGUGGAUCGGUAGGUGGGCAAUCAACCAACACAGUGUACAUGUGUAUGAGCGAUGACUGGAUGCAUAUGCGUGUGAGAGGGGUGGGAUGAAACCCGCUACCGCCGCCUUUAGCCCCCAUAUGGCGCCCGGCUCAGGUUGCACCACUGCAUGCCGCGCUGCUUUCCUUUUUGUCCGGAUCCUACUUGCCCUUCCUCCCCUCCUCCGUCCGUCCCUCCCAUUCUGCCCUUUUUCGUCCCUUCCAUGGCUCCACCUGUGGUCCCUGCCGGCCUUGCUAAUCCUUGUCCUGCCACUCAGCACCCCCGUCUGGGCCGUUCGCCCUUUCGUGCAUCGGCCGAGCGACAUCCGCUUCUCUUGCCUCGCUUUCCCUCCCUAGCCCAUCUCCUCUGCAGCAAGGUUCCUGUCGGGCGUUUUUCUUCCCCCCUUCUACGCCGGCAGCUCAUUCCUGAUUUCCCGCCCACGCCUCUCCGCCUCUUCCCCGGAACAGCUGCCCGGCAGGUGUUUGGAGUUUAGACGCCGUCAGUGGACACGCUCCUUCAUUUUGAGAUGUUGUAUGUGUCGUGUCUCCCUGCCGCGCCCCUUCGAGAUACCAUACGCAGUUCCGCCUCAGUGUAGUCCUCCUUCCUCCAUGUCUCCACGCUGCAUUUCUAGCGUGUCUAGCUGUUCCUUCACCCCUCAUCCCUUCUCCCGCCUCUCCCUUUCUCCCCCUUUACCCGCUCCCUCCCUGCUGGCUCCCUAAGGUGGCCUGGAGGACAUCCACAUGACCAUCAUGAUGCGCACUGCCCGGGAUAUCGCUGCCGGGGAGGAGCUGACGUUGGAUUACCAGGUGGGGCGAGAUGGGAAAUGUUAGCGGGGAGAGGCAGGUGUUGAUGGGUUAGGGGUUGCCUGAUUAGGUGCUGGGACUAGCGGGGUAGGGGUUGGCGCAAGUCCUGGUUAUCAGGUAGCUCAGCUUGCGUAGAACGUGUUCAUAAAGAACAGUUCUUACCGCAUGAAAAUGCUUAAGUUUUCAAGGAAGAGUUGUAAAACAGGGCGUGCUGUUCAAGUGAUCUCGUACAGAAUCACGUUUGAAUCCUAAUGCAUGAGUCAUGCCUUAUGGUUACCGUUUUUAUUCUAGUUUCCCGACUCCUUUUUUGUGGACAUCGCCAGGCGGGAUGGAGCGAGGAGGAGAAGGCGAGGUUACAGGUCCACCCAGAGGGAUUGGUGCCGUGCAGGUGGGGGUUGCGUUGAAUGGGGCGACUGGGAGCUGGAACGAUGGGUGGAUAGAUAGACAGGUGAUUUCCAGUGCCAUUGCCAUUGCACUGACCCUCGUUGAGCUAACCUGACCUGAUCUGCACUGGAACAAGAAACCAACACAGGGAGCUCUGCAGGAACCUGGUGCCCCCUGACCCACGGGCCAAGCAAUGUGCCUCCUUCGCAUCCGCCCACCUUAAACCUCCAGAUACCGACCGUGCCUCCGCCCCAUCGCGGGUACUACACCACCUUGCGUAUAUGUACCCAUGCGUUCGCUGUCGUGUCAUGCAUGGGUCCGCUUGUUCGUUCCUUUCCCCCCACCCAACCUACAACCCACCCAAAGUCACUAACCCGACCCACUUUCACGCACCGCGCCUGUCAUUUGCAUUCCUAGGUGUGGUGCCCGCAAGUGCCUGGGCUACGUGUUUCCCUUUAUUGACCGACGAAGCACCGCAACCUGCCAAACGCCACCUAAGGUCCAAGCCCGACGAAAUGCCCCGGGUACCCGUCCCUGGGCUGAGGCCCCUGACACGAUCCCAUCCAUCGCCAACACCACCACAACAGCUUCCGGUAAGGAGUUCGGGAGCGCCAGUCCGGGAGUCUUCCCUGGUGAUUCCGCUGCCGCCGCAGAAGCGGCGGAUGCUACCGCCACCGCUGCCGGUAAGUUAGCUGCUGCGGCGGCGGCAGCAGCCGUGGCUAUGGGUAGGGAGGCCUUCGUGGGUCAGGAGCAGGAGGGAAAGGACAGGACAGGAGAGGAGGAGCCCACGGAGCACAAGGAGGCGGUGGCGAUGGAGGAGGAGGAGGAGGAGCAGAAGUGCUCCGCAUCCAUGAUAGGAGCAACCGGUGGUGGCGAGGGGGGUGGCGGCAACACUAGCAGUAGCCUGUUGCCCCCCAUUGCAAUUGGGGUGCAAAGGCAGUUUGAGCACGCACCGAUGGCAGAUACGGAGGGGAGGAACCCACUUUCUCCCUCCUCCCUUAGCCCGUCAUCCCACUACGGCAGUACAGCAUCAGUAUCAGUCACGACAUCCUCGGGUGCCGUACAGCGCCGUGAAAUGGCGUCCACCGGUAGUCUAGGGUCUCGCCCAUUCUCGUUGAAGCGAAUUCGGCUGGUUGCUGCUUCACCACGCGCUACGGUGGCAAACCUGGAUCCUCAACCGAAGUUCGGUUGAAAGUAAGCAUGCACCAAACCAAAGCAGGCGCUGCAAGGCGCGAUGGCUGCCGCCGCUGCCACUGCAGUGGCGGCGGCAAGUGGUGCAGAGGUAACCGUGACGGCAUGACGGUGACAGCCGCGACUGCGCGGAGUGAACCGUGUCUCUUUGCAGCGGCGGCGGCCUGUGGUGGUGUGCCUGGUCCUACUGCCGCCAUUUUACGUCUGCCGUUGCAAUCGUAGGGAAGACGGCGCGGGUCAAGUUGCGGGUUUCGGCCUUUUGGGGCGACCUGUGCGAGCUAUGCUGGGGGCGGUCCGCCCUUCACAGUCCGUUCAUCCACGCGGUUGCGGCAACAGCUGCUACUGGCACAAAGACAGCAGCAGUGGGUGCAGAGGGACCACCGACUCCUCCAGCAGAGGCGGGGGCGCAGGGAAAAGAAGCGCGGUUAAAGUCUGGCCCGUGUCUUUCCCACAUAUCAUGUGCAUUGGGGGCUGGGUUCUCCAGGAGGAGGACGAAUGGGAAGGAACCUCCAGACAUGGACAGGAACCUUGGAUAGGGUUAGGGGAAGACGGCUGAACCACCCGGGAUGUAAACUCCCUGGGCAAUGGGCGGGGGCCAAAGGGCGGGGAGGAAAGGGUUUGUGAGGAAGGCAAAAACGGAGCGGAGGAAUGUAAGGCAGUUGGUAUGGAGAGCUCGGGCUUUGAAGCGAGGAACGCGUGGCGUAGGUGAGGUGGAUGUAGGGUUUGGAGUUCGCUGGUGAUCUUCUGGCCAAGGAGAGAGGGGAGAAGGAGUUUUGUACGGCAUUGUACAGCAUGUAAUAUGUCCAUGUCGUUAUGUACGUGGCAGAGCGCAAAAAUGUCGUCAGCUGCUCCCACAUCUGACCGAUGAGGUUUUUUCUUGGGCCUCCUAUCGUAACCUCGGAAUCACACGCAGUUUUUUUUCUUUGUAUCGUUUUGGAAUCUUAACACACGGAUUCAUUCCAGACCUGCGUUUGUUUUACUUAUGCACGUCUGUUCCUCACAACCAUGCUAAUUUCCCGAGGCCUUGAGCAUCUGUAACGUACAGGCUUAGCACCUGUUACGCACCGGCUGAGUGACUGGCAAGAGGCAUGAAUCGGAGGGAGCAGGCCGGCGGCGUUGGGGCUUUUACAAGGUUGUGGUGGUUGGGCACGUUGGCGUUAAGUGGUCCGGGUUUAAUCCUGGGGAAGAAAGAGAACAUACGAUCUCCCAGGCCCAAACAUUUCACCUUCAGAGUGUGGGCCUGUUGUAUUGUACACAUCUUCCCAAAUUGCAUCGGGCGUUCACUGGCAUUUAGUAUGAGCCUCAAAUCUGCAGUGACAGCUUCCCUGUAGCGUUCCGUGUGUUGCAGGAGCUGCAGGCAGUUAAAUAUUAUCUUACAGUGCAUAGGACCGGAUCGCCGGUCUUGGUAAGCUCCGUAGCAUGGCAUAGCGCUUCAAGUUAGACACACAGACACCCAAAUAAUCCCGCCCACCUGCACGCCAGCGGCAGCCAGCUGGUUUUUUUGCUCUUGCCACAAACGUCAGAACAACACACCAGAAACGACUGUGCUCACUGUGCCCUGGUUCCUGGCUGGCUCUUGCUGAGGUCUGAUGGCGUAGGAAUAAAAUAUUGCUCUCUCCUCGUACUUCUCAUCAAGAGACGCGCAAACAGAAAAAUAUCAUGCAUCGUUGGCAGGAUGAAGCAAAGAAUGAACCUAAUGAACCCUAACCCGUAUACCCUAAACACAUCUGCGCUCAUUCCUCCUCCACGAAUCCGCUUUUUGUAUCUGUUUGGUAGAAAACAUUGUACGCCAUCACUAUACAUGCACACAGGUAAUGAAAGGACUGAGGCCUACAUGGAGUAACGCAGGAGUGCCUACCGGCGCGCAGUCUUUACCUAACGCCAACAAGACGACAUAUGCACAGGGGGCUGCUGCUCCCAACACGCAAGAGGGACCCCUGUGAUAGCCGUUGAUGCCGUGGAACCCAGGUAUGGGGAAACCUCCGGGGUCCCGCAGUUAGAAUGCAUGGGGCAUCCAUUGAAGGAGCAACAGUUUCCCCUCCUCGGUCAUUGGACCAUAGCGUUAUUAACAGCACAGCAUCCGCUACUAUCUUCCGGAGUUCCGAUGCAAAUUUACUAAGGCCGCGUCAUUUGCCGCCUUCGGUUGCGGGCGUUGUGGCAGCCAAUACCUUGCCGCGGUGGUAGCCAGGAUGCUCCUUCUGCCAGUUCGCCAGAUGCUGAAUCACCUGCUUUGAAAUCUGCUGCGCAUCGCUAUUCUUGCCAAAGAAAGUCACGAACUCGCCCUCAGGGUCAAUAAGAUAGUGGAUGAUGGAGUGGUCGACCAGGUAGUCGGCGUCGCUCUCACCCGUCUUGCUGUAAUAGACACGGUAAGACUUGCUGACCUUCUUGAUGUUAUCCAGGUCGCCGGUGAGGCCAAUCAUCCGCGGAUGGAACUCGCUGACAUAGGACUUCACGAGCGGGGGUUUGUCGCGCUCGGGGUCGACUGAAAUGAACACCAGCUGGAUUUGAACACCAGUAGAUUUCUCUAUGAGGUUUACGGCCUCCGACACCUUCUCCAACUCAUCGGGACAAAUGUCGGGGCAGUGCGUAAACCCGAAGUAUAGCAAUGCGAACUCCCCCAACAGGUCCUUGUCCGUGUAUCGCUUCCCGUCCUGAUCUAUUAAGUCGAAGGGGCCGCCAACGGCAGCUUUGCCAACAACCUGUUGGCUCUGCGCGACAACCUGCUGCAGUUUCUGGUCUGUAUACAGCCGCGUCGCGUACGUGAUUCCCGCACCAGCCAUAAGCAUCAAAAUCAACGUCCGCAUUGAGACUGGGGCCACAUCGCGGGCACCAGGGCUAGUCCCAGCCUGAGGUUCUGCAGCUAGCCAACGCGACGCGUGCAAAUGCCGGAGCGCCAACCGCUGUUGCGACAAGACUGGACAGAAGUAACCCGAGUUUGCUGAUAUUGCCGAAGUACUGCUGAUGCUCAAGCAACUACCGCACGAGAAUUCCUGACCCAGCCAGCGCCGAGCUGGCCCGCAAAGCCGUAAGAAACGUAGCGAUCGCAUUUCUCUUAUUAUCUUUGUGCCAAAAGUAAUACCACGCAGAGAGCAUUUAUAGUAGCAUAACGUACUAUAAUGGCUCUCGUUAUCACCUCUACCGUGAGCGAUCGGCUAAUCCGUACAUGAUUUUCCUUUGCUGGUUCAGGCAAUGAAGUGAAAGAAAUGUUAUGCUACUAAGUAUUAGGAGAUAUGCUGAGCUUAAAAUGGGAACGCCGAUAAGACAGGACCCUGCUCGUUUUUUCGUGUUGCAUAUUGCCGUAGAUGCCUUCUUAUGCCAGGUGCGCUUUGCAGAAGUCAUAUACCCUCCUACCCUCUAAUCUACCUUCUACUAGUACCUUUUCAGGAUAAUUGGCCGGUGACCAACUUGCAACUUCCAGACGGUUAGAAUUAUGUAUGACAGUACCGCACUGUCUCAGGCCUGCCUUCCAAAGUGCCCACGCUUAAUGAACUUGCCGCUUGUUGAAAGAAACACAUAUAUUCACGCGAAUCGCAUCCAGGUGGAGGCUCUCGCCAAUGGCGCACUGCGCGGCGUUCCCCUGGCGGUUCAACAGCACGGAGACAUUAUCUCGGUCAACCACGACGCCCGGCAAGCCGGUGUGCGGAGGCAAAUGGCGCCAGAUGAGGCAAGAGCAAGCGGGUGCAUGGGUUAGUUGGAUCACGGGUGCUGCAAACGGGAAGAAAGGAGAGGAGUGCGAUGCUGACUGGUUGCUAUGCGGCGGAUGCUGUCAUGUCCAAUUAGGUGAUGCCUUGGUCUCCAGUUUGAGAGCAUGCUCUAAUCCUAGUAGGAAUGUACGGUACGUACGACAUAAGUGGGCAAAACGUUGUAUGGCGCAACUGCAAAAAGACAUUUACAAAAAUCCGCUCGCGUGCCGUUGUCGACACUUUGGCCCUGCAGGCGCGACGCCUCUUGACGGCCGUCGGCGGCCAUGUCGUAGAUGUUUACUGCGAGGAUGGCACGUAUCCGUCCUACAGGCCGUACCGGGAAGCCUCCGCCACGCUCAUGAGGUGAGUGCAUGUCCUUAUCACGUUAUCUCCGUGCGCAUGCCUUCGUUGUGUAGCAGUGUGCAUGUCAAUGUGCCAGUGUCUAUGUCUUUUGGGGAGGCCUUCAGAAACACACCCGUAGUGGGUAUUACACGUCUUACACGUCUACACGAUGCUUCGCAUUACAUGAAAACACAGAUGUGUUUGCUUCCGUUUGGGACAUCGUGCCAGAACGGACCUUGUACGCCGUGCAGUACGUCACCGUCUGGACGAGUCAGAACGAUCGGACUGAGUAUCGCAAGCGGGUCGGUUGGAGCACACACGCCCGCACACACACAUACAUGCACUCUGCACGUCUCACGUCUCUCACAGGCUCCUCCGCAGUCUGCUGUCCCCGUGCUGCUUCUUGGAGCGAUGUGCGCUGGAUGAAGCUUUUAUCUUGAUGCGCGCGGGGCCAACACCGGCCUCACGGGACGUAGCUGCGGACGUGGAGGAGGCCCAUGCAGAGAAGGGCGUGGGCGUUGACAAGGAGACAGAUGCGGCUACCAUUGCGGGUGGUGGUCCUACCCGCGACGACCCAUGGGUCAGUGCUGCAGUUCAGCUGGGGGAGCGGAUUCGGCGGGAGACCUGGUCGCAGCUAGGGUUACAUGUGGCGGUGAGCGGAGGAGGUAUUUUUGCGAAGCGGUGAAGGGAGGUAUUUUUGGAGGGGAUGCGCUGGGAAGGCACGUCACCUGGGACAGCAUGUCUCCAUGUACGUGUGUAUGAUUGUAUGUGUGUAUGCCGUUAUGGUCGUAUGUGUACAAUCUGGUUGACUUAGAUGAGCCUUGUAUAUGUGUGGCUUUGACCACUCGCGUGAACUUGGGUUUAGGUAAUUGAGGAGGAGCGAUCCGAUGGAAGCACCGCCACCUUCGAAAGACACCAGUUCUGGUAUGCACGUAGCGGUCGGUGCCCUGAUCCGGUGUCUAUGCAGCUCGCCAGCUAGCUUCCUAGCCAGCUAGCUGGCUGACCGACCCAAAUGCUGCUUCAACGACGACAUCCCCUAAGGCUCCGCUACUCCAGUUUCAGUCCCUCCCGCCCACAUGUGCAGUUGUGUCCACAAUCCACAGAGCGGGCCCCGCCUUACACUCGCCUCUCCCCCUACUUCCCCUUCUCAAAGGUGGGCAUCUCCCGCAGCAAGCGACUGGCCAGGAGGGCGUCCCGGCUGGCUAAACCCGCCGGACUGCGGACACUGGGCCUGGGGGGAGGGGAGGAGGACGAAUACGAGGAGGAAGAAGGGGGAACAGCUUUUCAGAAGCGGCAGGACCAGGACCAGGACUGUCAGCAGAAACCGCUGCAUGAGAGGGAGGGGAAGAGAGGGAAGGGGAGGGGCCCGCCCCGGGCGCUCCAGGUGCGAUGUAUGUGUGUAUGUGUGUAGGGGGGGAAUGGAGAGAGAUGGAGGGAGAGGGAGAGAGAGAGACAGAGAGAGGCAGAGAGAGAGAGAGACAGAGAGAGAGACAGAGAGAGAGAGAGAGAGAGAGAGAGAGACAGAGAGAGACAGAGAGAGACAGAGAGAGACAGAGAGAGACAGAGAGAGAGAGAGAGAGAGAGAGAGAGAGAGACAGAGAGACAGAGAGAGAGACAGAGAGAGACAGAGAGAGAGAGAGAGACAGAGAGAGACAGAGAGAGAGAGAGAGAGAGAGAGAGAGAGAGAGAUGGAGGGAGAGAGAGACGCGAAGCAGGGGCGCGUAGGUUAGCCAGGUAAAGCAGCGACUCCCCUUUGGGUACCAUACAAAACUCAAAACCGCGUGUCCUAACUUCCCUUCCUCGGGGCUCUGUCAUAUACCCCUCGUACCCCCAGAUCCACCCUGCAACACCCACUCACCCACCCACCCACGCACCUAGCUCAGGCCCGCACCUCCCCAACCCCUCCUCCCUUUACCCUCUCCAUGUUUUCCCUCCUUCCCCGGGCUUGUCUCCCCCUCACCUCACCUUCAACCCGUGGCGCCCUUCUUCCCCCCCUUCUCCCCCCGCUUCACUCACACACACACACAGGUCCAUGUGACCCUGACGCCAGUGGGGCCUCAGAUCCCCCCCGCCCCCUCACCUAACUCCGCGCCGUGCCCCACCGCCGUACCUCAUCACUCGGCUGUCCAGCGGGGGGGGCCCCACCCCCCGUCCGGAAAUCGCCCGGGUCAGUCAGGAGCUACGUAUGUACAGCCCGUACCGCUGCUUCCCGGCACAUCUGAGGGGUGGAGGCGGCUGUGUGCAUUGGUUCGACCCAUGGGGAUCGACCUGGUGGGGCGAGUGCUGCUGGACAUGUGGGUGAUGAAAGAGGGAUUGGGAGUGGGGGGUUUGUUGGGAGGAUGAAGUUGCGGGAAGCGGAGGGCCUGUAUCGGGAGGGAGGGCGGCAAGAGACGCACCAAACCCAUGCCAUUAGGGCUACCUGAGUACAAAAUGUGGUCAAAAAUUAGGCCCGUUUGACCGGGAAGUGAGAGAUCUACUACUCGGUUUUCCUCCUCCUCCUCCCCCUCCCCCUCCCCCUCCAGGUCCAGGGGGCUCCUUAAUCCCUCUCAGCCCCUCCGGAUCCUCCUCCUCAUCUCCCGCCUUUUCCCCAUCGCAUCUUUUCCCCGCACGCAUCCAUGUCUCUGUAGGUACCAGCAGCAGCGCUGGCCGGGUAAGCUCACCGCGCAGCUGGUGACCCAUGGGUCGGGGUUCGGCGGCUGGACCGCCUCCAAGACAUGCACCUUUCCAUCCCCCGCCCUGCUCACACCCGUCACCUUCUCUGCGGUCGAUGGGGCCGCUGGAGGUAGUAGCAGUCCCGGCAGCAGUGAAGGCGGCGACGGCAGCGGUUGCGGUGUUGCGACAGAUGCUGCCAAUUCGGCCGCCACUGCUGUUUCUGACUGGGCCCGGAGCCUGAGGUACGAGUAUAGCAGUUUAUCGUAUCCAGAUUAGGGUUUAGGGGCAACAAAACCCUUGAGACCAGAUCCAUAUGGGGGGGACAAUGUCGGUCGUCUACCCGUGUUACUGCUUUCCUGAGAAUAGCUGCCGCCGGUCUAUCCAUUCACUAGGAGUACACGUCUAGCGCCGAUGAGGCGGAACUACUCAAAGGAUGCCAGCACCGGUCCAGGGGGGAACUGAGAGAAUGGGGCACACGAACGAGGGCUCCACGCCUUGCUUGGGAAAUGUUUUCCUUCUACCCGUCCUCCCCCUCACCUUCAUCCGCAUCCUCCUCUUCGUCCGUCCCUCCAUCGAUCAGCCCGUUAAUGGAGGCUGUGGCCGCGGCAGCAUUGGAAUUGUGCCGGGAAGCCUUGGGAACAGCACCGCAGCAGCAGCAGCAGCCGCAGCAGGCGGCGGCGGGCGAGGACACGGGCCCCGGGAUGACCGCAGCGGCACCGGCGGCUGCGGGUUCCGGAGCUGGUGUCUCCCUGCCGCUAGUGAAGGUCGGUACGGGGUUUCGGGUUGGAAGGAGUGGGUGCUGCUUGGGAGGGUGUUGAGAUUCCCUGAUGCUGGUGCAUUACGCGGUUAGUGCGGAUGGUAGAAAAGCAUAUGCAAGAUGCGAGAGGAAGCAAGGGAGGCAAGUGCGGAUACGUCCGGAGUACCAAACAAACAGGUUGCGACGUGACGGGUGGACGAGGGAGGGAGCACUAGUAGUAAAUGGAGGCCUAGGGGCAGUGGACCCUCCGGAGCCUUCUCCCUGCUGACAUCUCGUCCCCCACCCUCAAGGCCACGCUGACGGCGCACUCUUUUGUGCCGUACGGGACGUCAGCCGCUGCGGCGUCGGCCACCGUCGCCGGGCAUAUGUUGCAACUUCUCCGAGUGGAGGGUGGGAUCAACCAGCGCCCGCCGCCGCAGUCUGGUGAUGGAGGUGGAAUGCCGGCGACGGUGGCGGUGCCGCUGGCGGGAGCUGAACCGGAGGCGGUGGGGGUGGCAGCGGCGGCUGUAGGGCCGGUGGAGGGCAGUCCUAAGGGCUCCAGCCGUUAUUUUGGAGCUGGUGCUGCAGGACCGCAGACGCCAGUACGGCCUGGAGUGCAGAAUUGUACACUGGCGGGAAACGCCGACAGAGCGCCUUUGCCCUUGCCAAUGACGUCCUCGUUGUUGAGCGGCGAAGCGGCAGCAGCGGCAGCGCAGCCACUAAUGGCUAGCUCUCAAAUAGACGGGGACUUGGCGGGGGGCCCCUCCAAGCGCCGCAGGGUCAAUGCCAGCGCGGGGCUCGUCCGUGAAGGCCAUCGCUCGUGGGACCGCGCAGGCCACACGACUGGGGCUGAGGGUGUUGACGGGGCUGCGGUGGCGGCAGCGGCCGCAGGGGCCACGGGCAACAAGACGGUGCCGGGGAUGGAGCUGGGGCUGGGGCUGGACCGAGGGGGGGAGGGGCGCGGAGACACAGAGAAUGCUGCUGCGGCUACUGUAGCGGUGGCUGCGGCCGCUGUCGACCGAGGCGGCGGCAUGGCUAAGGAAGGAGCUGCGUUCAGAAAAUUACCACCACUGCCGCCGCCGUCCGUGGCCACCGCUGCUGCAGCUGCUACUGUCACUGCUGCGGCGGCAACCACCUCCGGUCCAGGCCCACCGCCGCCACCGCAGCGGCCGCAACUUCAGCCGCAGCGUCAACCACAGCUCCAAGCUUCGGGACGGCAGGGUCUGAGGCCGCGGCCACGUCAGCUGCCGCCUCAAGUGGAUGUGUUGGGGCUGCUGGGGAGCUUGUGGGGCCAGGAGCUGCGGCGGCAAGAAGGAGGUGCUGGUGGCCUUGUGGACCCUGCUGACAACAGCGAGGAGAGAGGUGGCGGUGGACCGCGGGAUGCGCUGGCUCCUGGAACGUUAGAGGCGGUGUCGAAGGCGGCGACAGAGCGAAUGGACGCUUGGCUGGCGGUGUUUGGGGCGGGGCCGUUGGAAGAGUGGUGGUCAGGUUUGGGGAAUGGGGGUAUGCCGAGCAGCAUGCGGAAGGGUUAGUUUUGUGGGUUGCGGAAGAGGCGAUGAUGGUGGGUUGUCGGGAUAAGACGGCUGGAAGGCCCUGGUGGUGAAGGGUUUACGCAUGCUCAUCUGCGCGACUGAAUGCUUCACUGAUCGGGUCUAUCCUAAAAUGUUUAUCAUUUAUUUUUUUAUCGUGUACUUAAGCUUAUAGUUUAAAGUUUUGCAUCCAACGGUCACAGUUCGUUAGGGGUUGACUCGACACUGAAAGGCUCCGUCUGUCCGUCGUAAACCAAGCAUUGUUAGAGUGCUUCCCCCAACCCAGAUUGGAUAGUUGCGUUGUUCCUUGCAUAUGAUCCAUAUGAGAUGUUGAUGCGUCGUGUGCUGCGCCGGGCGAUGUGAUGCGCCGUAACUUUUCAAUCCCUUCUACAACAAAACGGAGAAAGGAUUGAUGUUGAAAUAACAGAUUGUGGCCUCAACUUGCUGAAUUGGAUACCAGCUGGGCGUGUUCAGGUGGAUGUGUGGCCACAGCUACGAGUUGGGACCGUAGAGCUGCGCCAUGUAAAGAGGCUUUCUUUUUUAUUCUGUGCCUAUUUUGUACUUUUCAUUCAGCUAGUUCUCUGUCCUGUCCUUGCUAGUAGCGGCGGUUGGCAAGGUCAGAGCAUGCCGCGCGGCGUUAAGAAGGAAAACCUGCCGAGCAAGAUUUGUGCAACCUGCCAGCGGCCAUUCACGUGGCGCAAAGUGUAAGACCUUACUCAUAAAGAGUAGGUCUUGGACAACCAUGAAAGCCCUGGGAUAAUGACUGCAGGUGGGAAAAUUGCUGGGACGAGGUGAAGUGCUGCAGCGAUAGGUGCAAAAACGAGCGCAAGCGCAAGCUGCAGCUAGCAAAUCGAGAGCAGCGCAGCCCUGAUGCCACCACCAUCACCCACGUUGACCGUGUCCCCACAUCGGACCCCGAGGUCAACAGCAGCCCCGUAUCUAUAGCCGCCAGCUCCAGGCCUGCGAGUCCCCGGGGACCUCAGCCUGUCUCGUCUUAAACAGCAUCGGAAUCCAUGGUGGACAAACCUGCGGCCCACAGCCCCUUACUGGAGCUCCCGGACAGAGAUUUGCUGUCUAUAGUGCAGCGAUUGGACGGUACGUGGCCAUGCAACCAUUUCACAGUUACAGGCCACAUGGGUUUCGGGCUCCAAAAUGGUGGAGGUGGAGUGGGGCGGAAGGGGGUGAGGGUGGGGCAAGAAUUUUGAGGACCCGUUGAUCGUCUCUCUGGUGUGCAUCUUGUGCACGAAACGGAGUACACAGCUAAAUCUCGCUGCUCUCCAUGGAUGAGUUAACCCAGCCAAAAUCUGUGUGGCACCUAGCAUAACCAUGACGCAUGCAUUCCUACCUGAUGACGCAUGCCUACGACGCACCCCCAACAUCGUACCUGCCAUGCAUCUCCUUGGGGCCUUCGGGGGCCCCUUUCUUCCACCCGGCCCUGGCAACCCGAUCAUACGCGCAAAUGCCUAAGCAGUGUAUCUGGUAUCACCCGCGUUCGAAAAAAAUUUUGCGUACCGUGUUUGCGUUAUCCCUUCAGCUUUGCCCUUGCUUGAGGUCUCCACCCUUGCCAUUCAUCCUCGUGUCAUGUCAUGCACCCGGGCGCCCUUCUUCCCGGGGCCCGGCCCCCGCUGUUGGAUUGUAGCCUUGUCGGUGCUGCGGCUGUCACUGAGCAGCAAUGCAGCCACUCGGCGCCUCGACGGCGUCGUCAACCUGUGGAGGGACCUGUUGACGCGUUUCUGGGAGCUACCACCGACAUCACCGACAUCAUCACCGCAGCCGCAGCUGCAGCUGCAACAGUGCCGAUAUGCAGCAGCUGAUGAAGCCGCUCCUUCCUCCCGCGUUGAUCCCUCGGCUUGCGCCCUUGCCACCGCCGCCGCCUUCGCGCCUUCCCAGCUCUCCAGGGCGUCUGACGGCACUGACGGUAGCGAUGGCGGCGUCGGCGGCGUUGGCCGUGUGGACCCGCGGGGCCCUUUCCGCGAGGCGUUGCGGUGCCACGGCCGACUUUCUUUCUGGCACCACCAGCACUGCCUCAGACUGGCCCGCUUGUCGCCAAGCCACACCAUCACAUUGGCUCCGCCGCAGCUGCAGCCAGCAUCGCCACAGCAAGGUGACUCCCAGGCUGCGCGGCGGCUAACGACUCAAUUGCCGCCGCCGCGCGGUGCCGUCUGCCUGAUGGCAUCGGGGCCGCCGCGGACUGUGGCGGCAGCGGCGGCAGCGACAGGGGAAGCGACGGCUGCUCAUGUCCGUAUAAAUCCAUUCAGCUUGACGGAUGAGGAAUUCUACGGCCUCCGCGUCUGUGACGGUUCCGGUGUGUGCUUUAUAUAUUGUGUCCAAUGUGUGGCCUAAGGGUGUGCGUAUGUGGUGGAAUUUCGCGGGCGAUUUCGUGUGACCGGUGCACUGCGUAGGUGUAUUUCGUAGUGCGCUAGUUCGUCUACAUGUCUUUGCCCGUAAUGAUAAGUAUCUACGGCGUCGUACAGCACAUUCUCGGCAAUGCAGUGCAUCACACUGCGUCCUCCCUACCUUUCUUCUCCUGGGAUGGGCCCCGCUUGGGCUGCUGUCCGCCAUCAUUGGAUCGGGCGUAGCAACGAAUCUACAGAAUGGCGAUGAAUAGGCUGGAAGAGCGGCCACCAUCGCCCCGCCCCACUGCUACCCUUCUUGUACCCAACUGUCACGUCACAGACAUUCACAUCGGCGGUGUAACAGUCCGCUGCUCCUCAUCCUCAUCGUGGCCGUCGUCGCCAUCGUCGUCGUCAUCACCGGCAGCACCAGCGGCAAGGGCCGCAGCCGCGACCCCGCCGAGUGGCGCCCCCUCCAUUCCCUGUCGGCCGUCUCACGUGGUCACGGUGGUGGCCCACAGCGGCAGUCGAGAGCCCAUUGCCUGGCUGUCCUUUCCCGCACCUCCCCGGCGCCCUCAUUGGACACAGCAAUACAACCGCCGUCACCACCACCAUCGUUAUCAGCAGUGCAUGUUUCACGCCGAUGCACAGCCGCCCGGGUGCCCUCAGCCACAAAGCCAAAUCCAGCCUCAGGAUAUUCAGCCCCAAGCUCUGCACAUACCGGAGGUGUGGUGCCGACCUGAGGCAGUCCGCGCCUUACUGGAUCCCGGAUCCAUGGCGCCGCCCGCGAGGAGGCAGCAGCAGCAGCGGUCACGAGGUGCCGCUGUAGCAGCACCAGCAGCGGAAGCCGCGGAAGGAGCGACGGACUGGACGGCUCUGGCGGCGGUUCUGUCUGCACGGGUCCGUGCACUUGCGGCGGCGGGACAAGAGCGGCUGCGCUGCGUGACGGCGUUCAGCGUGGGCAGCCGGCGGAAGCUGGCAGCUGCUGGAGUGCCGUACGACCUGGCGUCGCUGCAGGCUGUGGGGAUUCAGGUUGUGGAUCUGGCGGGACUGCUGCCGCCGCAGUCACCCGCACGAAUCCCCGGAGCUCUGGGUCAUGGCGGUGCCGACGGGGACGGGGACGGAGGAGAAGGAGAAGGAACGGGUGGAGGUGUUGGUGGCGACACAGGAGGUGAUUGGAUCUCCGGUCGUUGGCUGGGCAGCCCGCUGUAAUUCCCAAUACUGUGUGAUCCGUACUUCGCUCCGAUCCGCAGUGUGGAGGCGCCCGGAGGGGGGUGGAGGGGGGUGUUCGGUUUCCGGCGUUCCAGCGGGCCGGGGCUGUGGUGCAGCGUAGAGGAUGAAGUCAUGUUCCGUUCAUGUCUCUUGGUGUGCGCAGCGGGUCCCGUUUCGCUAUCUGAUGUUGCUGGUUUCCGCGGGCGUAAGGCGUGACUGGCAGCCUUUUCCUUAUGUACACUCGUUGCUUCACCUUCCUUCAUCGCGUUCUUUAUUGCGUCCCGUAGAAGGCGAACAUGGUUCCAUGCUCGCAGCCGUUAUGUUGCGCCAUCUUGCGCAUCGAGGUAACCAGUUUGAUGCGUUGGCUGGGAGGAUGCCACGUAAGGGGAUGCUGCUGUGUGGCGGCCUCCAUCAUGCUGCGCUGUGCCAUAAAAAGAGCUAUGCGACAUGAAUGCCUCUUCUAUCUUUUUUCACCUUCUGUGCAUACAUACCCCGUGGCUCCAAACCUUCAGGGCACCUGCAAUUUCCCGCCGGCGUGGAGCUGGGCGCGACAUGUCCUCAGACUGCUGAGCAGUCUGGCGGCACCGCCUCUGCGUCGGCUCAUUCCGCGCGGCGCGACACUGGCGCUUCAACGGUUCGGGCAACGCACCCAGGGGGGCCUGCGCCGGAGGGUGUGUCAGCGGCGUCGAAUGGGGUGGCGGUGCAGGUGCUAGUACGAGAGCUGCAGCGGGCGGUGGUUGGGGAGCAGAUGGAUGGCGAUCACAAUGGCAGCAGCAGCGGCGGUGGUGCUAGUGAUGCACAUAUGUCGGUGCGGCUGCGGGAGGUCAUAUCGCGGCUGCCAGCCGUCGCUCCUCGAAUGCAGGUCCUGCUGCUGCCGGUCGUGGGGCUGCGAGGACGCAGGUCAGUGUGUGUGUGUGUGUGUGUGGUUUUACGGCUGCUGGCAGUUCAUGGCUGGUACCCAUCAGGAAAUGUACACCAUCCUCGAUUUCAAGAUAAUGCUGCUCUACCCGCACGGCUUAUGCUUUCCCUCUGGUUCGCUGUUCGCCGCUGCACAACGAGGAAACCCUUUCCUUCUGCGUCUUCCACAAGAACACCGCGACUUCACUCCGUCCGCCGUACUGUAUACCAUGAAGUACUUUAGAGAUCCGCCUCUGCCUGAAGACAUACCUCCUCACUUUCGCGUGUGGCAAUGCCAAUCUCCAACCUCCCGCUGCCCACUUGCCUAGCCUGGCAUGUAUCCCUCCUGUGUUAUCCUCGGAUGAAUGCACUUCUUCGCAGGGCUGUCCGCAUGAUGCCUACCAGGAGAAGCAGCAGCAGUAGUGGCGCAAGGUGCACGGCGCCACGUCUGCUGCAACUCAUGGUGCCCGUGCUCAGUGAGGUACGGGGUUUGUGAAAGGGGUUACAGGGAGCUCAGAUGCAGCGAAAGUGUGCAAUGCCAAACAACCCUACAUGCCCCGAGAAUCUGUCUAUGCUGGCACGGGACCUGAAAGAUUUUGCAGCUUCAUUAAGUCUGGAUUGUCCGUUGGAAAGAUGUAGUAGGCAGUGGGUGGUGGGCAGUAAACUUCUGUGAUAUCAAAGCCAGGCGCACAAGCGCUGGGCGAAGAGGAGGACGGUGGUCUGAGGCUUAAGCAACGAAUGGCCCAUCCGACUGAAUGGUUUCAGGGGCCGGGAUGGGAAGGGAAAGCCCGCUGCGCCUCGUUCACCUGCCCAUCCUCCGCCUCCUCCUUCACUACUCCCCGCUGGCCGUUCUAGGCAUGUCAUAAAUACCUGUCAAGAUCCGCCAUCAUCGUAUCGAUGUCCAUGUGUAGAGGAAGCACCUCCAGUAUUGCACCGCCCGUUCUCUUUUUCCCGCAGCUGCGCCUGGCCAUGACGGCUAGGAUUGGGUGCGCCGCGGUGCGACCACCUUCGCUUCCGCUACUGGCGCGGGUGUUCUUGGUUCUGGAUGACGAAGCGGAGGUUUAUGAGACUGCGUUACGAAAUCUGGCUAUAUCGACGAUGGAUCGGGCCACCGGGCUGGAUGAUUUGAGUGGAUGGGCGACUGUGGCUACUUAAGCGUGUGUGACGCUUUCCUUCUAAAGCGCAGUUUAAAGUUCAUAAGGCGGCAGACCGGAUUCCAUGUCACAGGUCCAUAUUGAAAUCUCACAGGGGCUCACCAUAAGGUCGGAAGUAGGAGGACACGAGGUGUAUGGUCCAGGUCUCAAAGGGUAAAGAGAGAUAUACGGCAACUAACAAUGUUUUACCUGUUCUUGGCCAACGCGCGGAUCCGGUAUUUGAUUAACUUUGACAGAGGUGAUGCUCCAGUCGGACGAGAGCUAUCCAGUAUGCCAAUAUUUGACCGAACGUAACGAAAUCGCACCAGCCGUUUCGAAGUUUUCCUCUUAAAUAUCACUGGGUAAGGUAGAAGAUUUGGCGAGAUAAUUACAAAGAGAAAGCUUGAACCAAGCGGAGAGCAAUAACUCUCCGCGCCUGCAACGAAACUUGCACGCACCAACACAGUUGCAGACCACCAAAAGCGACAGUCAUCCGCCUGUUCCCCAAAACACAAAUCUUAAAUCAAUAUACUCAUCAGUACACACAGCUGUAAGAACAAAAAAACAAAAUCAAAUACGUUCCUCCUGCUAGCAACCACCAUUUUCUGCGCUGAACAUCAGUGCAAACCUGACAUGCAUACCAAUAUGAGGAGCAGCUUGAGCAUCACGUGCCUUGGCUACCUGCAAAGCCUCGAGUACUUCGGAAAGUUGUGAGUCAACCCUUGUCGCACCCGAUCCACACUUGCCUGGCCUUCCAUACCAAGAAGAAGCUGAGCAUGCUACCAUGGAACCCUACGGCCCCUGGGUCAGGACCUUCUCACCUUAGAACAUACCUCCAGCACCGCGCAUGUUGACUGCCUGUGGAGCAGCGCAGAACGGUUACUGGUGCCUUCCGGACUAGACAUACAACCCGUAUCCUACAUGGUUAACCAACACAACCGCACCGCUUUCAAUACCUUAGUUUACCUUGGUAAAGCGCAUUAGCGCAUUAGGAUGACCAAAAUGGUUUUGUAACUCAUUACCUAUGCAGGGCCAACGGGUUUGGCAGAAUGUGUACCUGGCAAAGAACAAUUCCAAGGAACAAAUUGCCGAUUCCCUUGCAUACACAAAAACGCAGCAAUCCAGCAGCGACACUCAGCACAUGGUCACCGCCAACGUUUCAGUGGUGCCAGGCUGAGCAUUUCUAGGCUUACACAGGCCAGGAGAAGCUGGACGCCAAGAGCCCACAAGCCUGCAAAUCAGUGGCUUGUCAUUGUUGGACGAUUGAAGAGCUAGUCAGCAGAAAGCAUCCCACACUUGGCCCCGGUCACUUGGCUUGCAGCUUGAAGUGGCUGUUGUACAAUGGCAUGAACUGGUACUCCGCCAGAAUUUGCCGGCCACUGUACCAGCGACCGUGCAGGGCUCGAUGCGCUGCCUCUGCUGAUUGGGUUGUCGCAAAGCGCAGGUAGACAAAGCCCUGUUGUUAGGGGCAGCAAAUCAAUUCGAAAUUAUAGAAGGCAAGGCAGUCAAAAAGAUGGCAGAGGCAUUAUGCCGGGUUUAGUUGGUUGAGCCACCCAGCCACUGAAGAGCCUCUUGGAUGUUUCAAUCGAUUGCAACAUGUGUAGUAUGUUGCAUUCCUCCACACACAGACGCCAUGACAACAGUUAAGCCAUGUAACAACAUCUAUGCAAUGAAGCAAAAGCAAAACUUGCGACACACUACUUUCUGCUUUUGCGGCAAUGCUGCCAACUGGGUCGCGACAUACCUUACUCUUAGCAUCUACCCACACAUGCAGGAGCUCGCCAAACCUCGAACAUUCCUCGCGAACAUCAACUUCGACCUCGGCAGCAAGGACGGACGCUGCUGCAUUCUGUGCUGCUGCGUCACCGGCUGAUGCGGCUGCAUCAAACAUGUUUUUCAAAAGCAAGCAUGGCGUGGCUAUUGGCGAGCUCGGACCAAGCACACCCUGCUGCAUGAGAAGCACGGGAUCAACAGACAGUACUGCAUGGGCCACAGCGUUGGUCACGCCUGCAGGAAGUACACUAGUUGGGGGUGCAGGGAGCCCGGCCGAGCCCGCCAAUUUCGUCAUUAACGCGACACGCCCUUGUGCGCUCAUCUUGAUGCCGCCGCCCUCAUUAUCUUCGUCAAGCUCUCCAGUGGUGACCACAGCGGCCUGUGUUGCGGUGGCAGCGGCCAUGCCUGGGGUUGGAGCAAUUGCUGUCGCUGUCGGCGCUGCUACCAAACCGGGAGCUACAGCUCCGACUGCAUUCAACAUCGCCAAAGACGGCAUCACAUCGGGCAACAAGCCCGGCAAGACAGGAACCGCUGGAAGAGCCGGCGCCAACAUUUCUGGGGUAGGCGGAGCCGUUGCUAUGACGGUCAGAUGUGAAUCCACUAGCUUGCGACCGUGCCAGUGAGCCAUGGCCCCUGCAGCAGCGUCCAUUGCCCCAAACUUGAGGUAGGCGAUACCUGUGCUCCGACCAGUAGCAUCCCUGCGCAACUGCACUGCUUCAAGCUUGCCAAAAGGAGCAAAAAGCUGCUGGACCUCCGCCUCUCCAAGCUCCUUCACAAGAUUGCUGACCUGCAGCCAGCAGGGCCCGUUGCCCGCUAAAGCCACCUGAUUUGUCCCCUUACCACCAGACCCAGUAGAUGAAGCCAGGGAGCUCAGAAGUUGAUGCGUCGCAGCCUGGGCGGAGUGCUUCUGCUGCUGAGCUGCCUCCCAAGCCAUGUUCUUUUCGGCCUCCGAUGCCUGCCCCAGGAAGAGCGCCAACAAGACGGGCAACCAGGUUCAGGGCUUAGCUAAGAUAAGCAGAGGAGCUGUGAACAGGAGCAGCACCAGAGCAUUUUCGGUAGAGCAGUGAGUAGCAGCGUUGUCACCACCACCCCCGGUUUGCAAGUGAGAAAAACGGUACUUUGACAAUUCGUUUGUAACACGCAACUUGUUUGACACCAAUUGUGUAACAGGAGGAAAAGCUCCUGGGGUGAUCUCUUGCCUAACAACAAGAUCUUCGUCACGAAUAUGCCAGACGCCAUACAGUUGGGAUUCGGAGCUGAGCUUUCUGGCGACUGCCGCCAUUCUUGUGCUAGGAGGUUAAGUGGUAACCAUGCGUACCGGAACAGACAUCUCGUAGAGGCAGCACGUUCCUGUUCACCGAUUAAUGGAUUAAUGACUACUAGGCGCGCCAAUGCUCGUAGCAGGGGUAUGUGUAUGACUUCCCUGAAGCACCACCGAAUGUGUAUCACAAGUGCGACAGUCGUCAAAAUAUUAUGCAUCUACAAAAUAAUUCCAGCUAUCACUUCUAAAUCCUCCGCAAAACAGGGUAUCGCAUAUCGUGAAACGAAGACAUGAGCAGUUCAUACAGACAAGAGAGAACAACCCUGGACACACCUUCACCAUAACGGGCUGCCCCUUCAGGAUGUUGCCCGUGAGAGCGACCGCAGAAAUAACCUCUUCGACUUUGCUAAACUCCACAUACGCAAGGCCUCGCGACUUCUUGGUGUUUUUGUCAGUGAUGAGCCUGAUGUCUACUACGCGGCCGACCUGCAGGAAAGAGAGCGAGAGGGGAGGAACAAGUCUCCACUUCCUCUACACUUGCACCAGGCAUUGCACCAGGGCAUACAACAGACUGGAAAUUGUAAGAGGGAAAGCAGAAUAAUGGCUGUCUCAGGAGAGACCAAGGGAUUAGCGGUGCAGGCUAAGGGUCCUCUGAGCAUACCUUGGAAAAAAACUCAAAUAUGUCACGCUCGUCCGCGCGCAAGCUUAGGUUAUACGCGAAGACGGUCCGGGUAGCACGUUCCAGCUCCCUCAGUUCGCGUUCUUUUUCACGAGCCAGCCGCUCUGAAGGGGGCGUCAGCGACCGCCUGCAGGUCACGUUGAAGGUAAGACUAACGUGGAACAUUAAGGCGACUUGAGAUCCAACAAAAGAACACCAUAAACAAAGCAACAAACACAAGAAUAGCACAUUCUAGCAACUCUUCACAUACCUGCGAGAUAGCGAGCGCUGAGAAGAGCGAUAAUGGUCCGAAUAUGGCCGUGAUCGAUCUCGUGAACGGGACCUUGAACGGCGGCGACGGUCACGCGACCGUGACCGCGACCGCGACCGCGAUGACUUGUGAUGCCUGCGCCUGGACCUAGACCUGGACCUGGAGCAGCGCCUUCGGUUGUUGUCAUCAUCACUUGCUGUGCCGCCCACUGACUUGCUCCGCGCUGCUUUUGCAUCUGGGACGUGGCUGACCUCCCCAUCCAGCUGGCGCUCAAGGUACUCGUAUUCGUCGUAAGACAUAAUUCCUUAAUAACGCAGUAACAAUGCUCAAUGCCAGUCAAGGAAACAAUUAGAAAACACUGUGGAUAAAAACCUUGGUGGCAGGAUUUCUCCAAGGGCCGCCUCUUAUUUGCAAUCUUUCUACUGCAGCGAAAACACUAUGAACCGGAUGCCCCACCAAUCAUCAAGAUUAACAAGCAGCGUGCGGCAACCUCCUGCCUCCUGUGCCUUGUAUACGGCAGCGACGUACCGCUACUUUUCAAUUGUACUGCAACAAAAUCAUACUCACCUGGUCAUCUGGUUGCAUUUCUCCUGCAAUGAAGAAUUUAGCCAGAGCCUUGACAGCUUUCCGAAUGUAUAUAAUAUUUUGUAUAUAACAGUAUAUAAUAUUUUAAACCAUGAUGGAUGACGGAUGAUCCGUAAAAUCAUGGUACACUUGUUGAGGUCUGUGAACGUUGGAGCAGUAUUAAGUUCCCCGCCGGCGACGCUUUGGCUUGAGGAGACCGGCCGCAUCGUCAUCGGCAUGGAUAUUAUACAAGGUUAACCAAUAGUCCUUGAACCGCUUACAUUGUCGCAAGACAAAAUCGCGAGGAUGCCGCAAUUUAGCUUGCAUAACUGUUACCCGGGUCUUGGGGACCCUGGGGUUGCGUCGAGUCUUAAGCGCCCUGGUGGUUCUGAAAUCACUUUACGAAUCGAGGCUGUGUCGCAUUAUUAUGCAUGAAGUUUCCUUGUCUGACAAAUUGGCUGACGUGUGUAUGAAGCCUUUUGCAGACAAAUAACAUCCCUAGGGGGACAAUUAAUACCUCUGGGCCAGAGGAAAUCCUAAAGUACUGCACUUCUGAACCCUUACUGUUGAAUACAAAGGUUCGCUUCGGUGCAUAUUGUUGAAUACACCAGCGGUUAGCCAAACAGGUAGCUAUUGCGACAGCCACGACUAUCGCUGCCACUACCCUCCACGGCCCGGCCCCGCCCUGUGGCCGUUACCGUCGAGGCAGCCCUGGACAUGGACGACAACCAAGCACAGGGACUUUCACCGGAACUUCCUCGCCAACACUGCGAACCCCAUCUACGAGCGGCUUGAGCGAUAAAGGCAUCUCCGUCCAAAAGAAGCCCUGAUUGCAUUUGAGAUUAUGGCAUAGCCCAGAUGUUGGCACUCUGCUGCAUAUGCACAACUACCUGCACUCGCCACCCAAAUUGUGGGCUGGGAUACACGAGGGUAACAGCGUGAGCCCCGCAUUCCGGGCGAGUUCACAGACCCCGCCCCAGCUGCAUGUGAAUGCGGCCAUCUGCCAUCCUGCAUAGCAAAUGAGGCAGCAAAGGUUGCUCGCCACCCGCCACCGACAAACACCACGGCAUACGUCCUUCAAGAACCCAGUGCUCAGCUUCGUUAAACCCGUUUACUCGCUGUGCUUGCGGAUUCGAGAGAGCAAAGGAGGGCAUCUGAACCAAAGCCUACUUCUGAAACCAACGAACAUAGGGCUCAUCAUCUUUAUCCGCAUAGAGCAAACUUUGUAGACUGCAAUCGUGCCGUUCGUACCUCUCUUUGCGGCAUUACACUACGGCUGGCACGGCAGUAGCUCGCCACUGCAACGUCCGAAGCCGAUUCGGCGGCACGGAACGCCAUCACCACCACACCAGCCCCGCAGCGUCACAACAUCACCGUCCUCCAAGUACCGUCGCCGUACGACACCCGUACUCGCCUCCGUAACCUCCGCCCCUUUUUCCACCUCGUCGCCUUCCUCAUCACCGCCGCCAGCACCCCCCAUGGCGCUUGCCUUACACACACCGCUACCGUCGUGACCAUUGCGAAAGCCGCCGUACAGUACGAUCUCGUCCCUGCUAGCAUGUGUCAGCUCCAACAAACACCCGCUGGAGUCGGCCUCGUCGCCGCUGAUGGUUCCGGAGCCCAACAGAUCUCCAGGUCGCAGAUUGCAACCGCCAACCGUGUGGUGUGCGAUCAUUUGGGCGAAGGACCAGUAGCUGUACGGCGCGGGGAAGAUUGAGCGGGGCGCGCCAAUUCAAACGUUCUUCAUGAUAGAUGUCAGGGGUGUAUGUGCACAUGACUAUUCGUACUGCAUGGCCUUGCGUAACAGUCGUGAUUUCGCGUUACCAGCACCGACAUCCGGCUCUGAGGCCAAGGUCAAGGCACCGGCGUGGAGUGUUGCCAGGUGGCGUGCGAGGUGGGGGUGGGGUGCGGAGGAGAGCGGGCAUGUGGCGUUGUGCUCGUGUUCGUAGUGGAAGUGGGUUAGCUACAAAUUUAGCAAGUGCGAUGUGUUUCGUCACAGCCCCAUGACCAUUACGAUGAAGCACAGCGGGGGCAUUCUAUACAGGUUGGCCACCAACAUACAUACAGCCCAACACACAAAAAAGCACGAAGUCCACAAUUGCAGGAAACACAAAGACAUGCAAGCACACAAGCAACGGCUGCACAACGGUAUUCCAACGGUCACCUACAGGUGUUUCAGGUUGGAUCGUGUAACCGUCGUAGCCCGGUCAACGCCUGGCGGCGUGAUGUCCACAGCCAGGUUGACAUCGUAAGUGUACGGCAUCGCUUCUUGUAGGUACGGCAGUACGUCAGGAUCUCCAGCCUGUUUUGCAGGCGGGCGGCAUUUGAAAGGCUCCAGGGCCUCGGAGGUCACCACCCAAGGGGAGAUCUGGGUCGCCUACAAGAAGAGGGGAACGGGGAGACGGGAGCGAUGUCGCCGAUUCUGGCGGCAGGUGUGACGGAUGGUGAGAAACAAGGGGUUUUGAUGUCACACCAGCAGAAUUCAUUACAUUCCAGACUUCCUGCUGGUCAUCUUUGCCGCCCGAGAAGUCGAUAUGCGGCGAAAGGAGAUCACAUGCGAAAAAGCCAGCGAGUGAGGAACCAGUGAGAGAGAAAACAAAGAACCAAAGUUAAACGACCAGCAAGACUCCACAAACAAACAGUCUGGUCUGCUGACACUACUGCCAUAUGCGGUUUAAGGUCCGAUUACUGGGGAGACCCCCGACAUUGUCAGGAGCGUGAGAUCAUGGCUAGCUGCUGAGAUGUGGAGUUGAAGUGACAGUUGAUGGAUCGAGAUUCGCACGCUGGAUUGUUGGUGAUUGCUGAACCCUCUGUCUCUGCAGAUGUUCGGGUGACUGGAUGAGGAGGGAUCCUAGAAGGCAGGAUCAACCGCCUUGGACUUGCAGUUCGUAUGGCGUAGUACAGUGUGGUAAUGGUGGAUGGUGCUGUAUGGUGUGAUGAAUCGUAGAAUUGACAAUGUGUCCAAGUGGCCCAGAAGCCUUCCCACUCUGUAACAACAAAAAAAAUUAACAACAACGAACAAUUGACAAACGAAGCUUAACCUUGAAUGAAACUCUGUGCCACACACACACACACACAUCCUCUUCCUCCCGCACUUCAUCCCCUUCCCCCAAUGGGGCUAGGUCCACCUGCUCACCCAGGACCUACUCACCCAAUUUUUGCCGCAGAAGGGCCCCAGAGGCACAUACUCCCAUUUCUGGAUGUCCCGAGCACUCCAGUCGUUCAUCAGCACCAACCCGAACACAUGCUCCCAGGCGGAUUCCACAGGGAUAGCCUCACCCAGCGUAUUCCCGGGGCCUAUGAAGGCAGCCUGGGGGCUCCGGGGGUUGCGGGGAGGAAGACGUGACGUUGGGGCGGGUGGGAUUCAUGUCAACCCUCCCCCCCGACCGCACACUCCAUUUCUCCCCCCCCAAGAGAUAACUGAAGGACGGCGGGCGCCAUGCAAGCCGUUUUCUGUCCUCACGACCACAACCGGGGACAUCACCGGUGGUCGAAACCCACGAAAGCCCCAGACCGCCCCCCUGACCGCACCACCACCACCACCACCACCCCACCACCCCACACACACCCCACUGGGGACUGCUUGUCCCUGCAAUCUUCUUAGACACCUCUUUCCCCCUUUCUUUCCGUCGCCCGUUGCUCCUCUUUCCCCAGCCCCACUCACCACCUCCAGUUCAAAGUCCACCUGGGUGCUGGGGGCCACCACGGGACGGGGGGGAGGGCUGGAGCUGCUGACUGCACUGCUCGACCCGGGGGCCGCAGGUGGUAGGAUCUGGCCCCUACGCAGCGGGGGAGCGAGGGCGGGAGGUAGGAAGAGGGAGGCUAGAAGCGCAGAGCUGGUCAGACAGAUAGACAGACAGACUCACAUUUUCGAGUCGAGUCACACACGCUCACGUGCACAGGCCGCCGUGGGAGGAGCCUCGCCCCUUAGCAAUUAUUGAGGCACUUGAUAUUCCUCUACCUCUGAAUAGGGGAAGCUCCCGCGCACCCAAGAGGAAAUACAAAAGGACAGAGACACAUACAUACAUGCACACACGCACCUGCCUGAAACGCACGCACCAGGUUACACCGACGCUCGGUCUCCCCCUACUCCAACAACCCACCUAGGCCUCCGUACAGGUGCUCCCGAGGGUACGACAGAAGACGAGCGGCCGUGAUAACCCACCGGCAGGUGCAGCCUGAGGAGUGAAGGGGCGGGGGUCAGCAGGUACUUGACGGCCCGGCACAACUAAGGGAAGUGGCGGGUUUCCGGAUCCCAAUUAAAUUCAUGAUGCGUUAUGACAGUUUGAGACCGGGAGGGGAGUUAUGAGGGCCUCAACCCGCGUGUAACCCCAACCCGUGCCUGCAAACUGAUCUACAAACCGAUAAUACCCAUUCGCGCUGUGCUGACCCUUCACCCUCCCUCUUAUCGCCAGUUCCCAACAGUGUUUUUUUUUCAUUUUUUGCCCGACAAUUUUCCAGUCCGAACGGAGGAAAAGGUUUUUAGUCGCGGGGGGUAAAAAGUAUUCCGAAUCUGUAAGGCGCUGGGGGGGCUACGCCCCCCCCAGACCCCCCCCCGAUGAGGUUUUGUUUAGUUCGUACAAACACAGGGUUUGGGGAAUAUCGCAACACGCGCACACCACAAUCUCUCCAUAGAGGUUUCUCUUGCACGCCAGGAAGUGGCGCGCACUUGGACGCUGCACGGGUGACUGCUGUUGCAGAGCCCAAGCAAACACAAACCAGUUAGCCCCUACUCAAGCACUGAUCAAAUAGAGUUCGUUCACCGUCGUUCAUUUUGCAUCACGUUGAAAGAUAACACUAUACGACUUUCCAGAUUGUAAAAGUAAUGAUGCAUAGCAGCAAUGAACCAGAACCGCCAAACACAAACUUCCCAACAUGCAACCCCAGACAUACACCCACAAACGCAUAUAACAUACAGAUUUCCUCUCUUUUACUUUUUACUCGACAAAAUUUGGGGCUCUGUACGAAAGUACGAGCAUACGAACAGCACGUACCAAUUUGGGUUGAGGGCAUUGGCGGGCCCUCGGAACAUGGAGCCCACUCUGGUGGCAUGUUGGCGGGAGGCGUAGAAGUCGGUGUAGUCGCCGAUUUGCGCCGGCAGUAGCAUCGUCACGUCCGCCUAGCCACGGCGGCGUUUCGUCCAGGAGGGUCCAUUUCGUCCAUUUUCAGUUUAUACUUGAGGGGAAAUCUACUAGACACCUGAUUUCGACUAGAAAAAAACUACAGAUUAACGGAAAUGCAAACAGAAUUGACGAGACACCUGAUGAAUAAGGUACUGACAUAAAACAAAAAUGAGAAGGAAGAAGAUUCUCGCAGCUCAUGCUGCUACUGCUGCCGUACGACCCGUAAAAGAGGAAUUGCCCGUGGACCUGGAGCUACCUGUUUGUGUACGACACGUGACAUUAAUUCGGAAUUGUCUCGGAGCUCCCCUUCGGAAGCAUUCAGCAGCCGCUGCAACGUCGAACGCGCGGCCCUCCACGCCGGUCGGCCCGCCGCCAUGAACUCGUUAAGUCGGCCCUGUACGCGUGUGUGUACGGGUACGGGUACGACAAUCGAACAUAACUAUAUCCUCUAUUGACACACAAUAAGAUAAUAAAUGAGGUAGGUAACGUCUCUAAGCCAUAUUCAUACCAAACGUAAUAUGUUGUAUGUUUCCGAACGUCCACUGGAUGUUCGCCGACGCGCUCUGUGAGGGCUCUAUCAAGACUGCUGGGGCGGGGGGCCCCACCUUGGAGAAGACCCGUGGGUCGGCACCUGGCAGGUCACGGAAGUAGCCCCCGGCCUGCAGGCCACCAAUAACAUCAUCGCAGGCCAUACAAUGGCAACGAAAACAACAGCAGCAACAUGCCGUAAUUUUAAGUAUCGUCAGGCACGUAUGAAAGCGUGAAAGUGUAGCGGGUUGGGAAGGAUGGGAAUGUGGGUGGAAGGGGAGGUUAAGGAGCAAGGGGGGUAUUGUGUGUGCGCCGUUGCGUCCGCACGGUGGGUUUCGGAGGCCAUCAAGCAACCAGCCAUCAGCGGAGGAGGCCUGUUUCCAUGCCUCCAUGCCUCCAUGCAUGCAAGGGGCAUAGCAUGCAACAAGCUGUCACGAUGCUACAGCGAAGAAUCGAGGUUCAGACGUGAGGAGUUGGUGCUGUUGCCGUUCUUUGACUCUCGUUAAUUCUGGUCCUAUAAGAUUGGGUGGUGGUCGCCUCACCUGGAGCUCUGUGGCUGAGAUGACGUGCUGCCCCAGCGCCACGCCCACAUGGACUUGGGGACCCGCUGGGCCUGGGGCCUCAAACACGCCCCACGGCAAGUUUUCGAGCGGGAAGUCGCUGUCCAGCGGUACCUCUAUAAAACUUUCCAUUGUUUUUAUUUGUCAACAGACUUUCGAACGGCGCUUGAUGUAUGUAUGCGUGUCACUAUAGCAUCUUGUGCGAGCGUUUCCUUUUGUCUAUCCUCCCACAGGUGUUGCACUACUGCAUUACAAAAUCCCAGGCCUUAAGAGGUUAUCUGUUCAAUACAGUUUUAUUACAGUAUUUUGAGUGUGAACUACAGAAAAAGGAAGGCUACUUGGAAGGCACAUUGAUAGCGACAUCAUGAAUUGUCGUGUCCCAGCCCGGCGCGGUCGGAGCGCAAAAGACAAAUACGUCACGAAAGCGUAUUCAUAUAGAACUCUAUACAUGUAUGUAGAUGGGAGGUGAACGCUGCUUUGAAGAUGCGCCGGGACCCAUCCCUCCUCAUGGCGGUAGUGUUGAAGGAAACAUCGUCGGCAACAGCAGCAGCAUAACCUCAGUAUUAUCUCAGUCAUCAUGUCCUUUCGAUUUGUUUCCGCCCAACGUGUGGACGGUGAUAUCCCGUCACCUCACUCCCCGCUCCAUUGCAGCUCUACGCUUGUCCUGCCGCGUGGUAUCCCAGCUCAUUGAUUCACACCUGCUGCUCCACCUCAACCUGACACUCACCGUACCUUGGAUUCUCACCCAUUAUCGCUCUGGCGACUUAGCCGUGCUGGCUCGGCGCUUCAAAAACCUUCAGGCGCUCUUCCUCCGGCCCGAUAGUGCGACGGACUUCCAGAAGCGCGUCGAUGCGGAAACGUGCCUAUGUGUUCUUACCCCCUGGCCUUCCUCCCUUCGAGCAUUUCACCUCUCCGGCUGGCCGCUGCCGUACCAGCUGCGGUUUUGCUGCAGCCUGCCGUACUGGGCCCCAGCGCUAACGACGCUGGUGCUGGAAGGUCCAGCCCCAGGAGCCCACGAGGGUGCGGCCUUGGCGGAGCUGCCAUCGCUCCGACGGCUAGCGGUGCGGUUCGGACCUUUGUACGGACUGAAGCUGCCGUACACGUGCCCCUACUUGGGUGCGCUGACGCAGCUGACGGCGCUGCAGCUGGCGGUGAGAGCUUGCAGGUUUGGAAAGCCCUUAAAAAGGCCCCUGUUGGGUCUGUGGUGGCCCCCCGUGUGUGCGUGUGUCCCAGUAGCUCAUGGCCGUGACGAGAGGACAGACGCUCAUCCCCUCUCCCUAUCUUGCCCAACAGCCCUGCCUGAUACCCACCCGCGCGCGCCCCCUCACCACCAGGGUGCAGUGCCAAAUCAGGCAACAGUAUCCUCGUUGUCGCCCCUCACCGGCCUGCGACACCUGCACCUUGAGCUGCUGCAUGAUGGGUACGAUAAGGGUAUGCAGGUAUGGCGUACUGCAAUGUACGGUCAUCUCUUUCGCCCCCUUAUGGCUUUCUGCGCGCUCGUGCACGUUCUGACCUCCCAAGCAUGUGUAUCCACUUGUGUGCGUGUGCCGAUCACUCCAUCUUACAACACGAACAUGGGUGGGAAUUCAUCGCACUCCAUUCGCUCUCUCCCCACCGGCACAGUGUCCGUUUGUCUUGGGGCGAGCCACCCAAACCGUAUACCUCCAAUCCCAACAGCACUGGCGGGCUGGGGCCUCCGAUGGGUUUUAUUAUACCUUUGUGAGAGCGAUCCAGGUCUGCAUUCCUUCACCUCCUCAAGCCUCUGGUUCCCUCUCCCCUGCAAGUUAAAAACGUUUGGGCGCCUUUCGUCUGGGUACAUUUUAAGGUCGAAACCGGAAUUGUUGGAUCCUUCUCGUACGGGGCCGGAGACCUGAGCGCAAGAGAGCCCCCGGGACCUUCUCACCCCCAACCCGCGCCCGCAUCCCCUCCUCCUGCACCCCCUCCUCCUCCUCCUGCUGCUGCUGCUGCUGCAGGUCCUCGAUCUCCGAGGGCACAGCUGCCUGAGCAGCUUAGUGCUCCGUGCGAGAUCAGCUCGACACUGGAGCGAUGAGGAGGAGGAUAACGAUGGCCGCGGCCCUCUCACCUCGCCCUGCUGCUACCACCACCAUCACCGCGGUCGACAUGACCCCCCCCGCCGCCGCCACCACAGCAAACUACACGUUCCCCGGUCUCGCCCGGCCGCCGCCAGCCCGCUGCCCUGCCCCGUAGCGAUACGCCGGGUGCUUCAGUGCCUUCCAGCCUCCCUGGAGUCUCUGGCAGUGGACCUGCCGUGGUGGGGACCCGGGGCGGUGGCGCCGCCACCGCCACCGCCGCCGUCAGCGGCGCUGGCGGUAGCAGCAGCAGCAGCAGCAGCAGCUGGGAGUUUCCAACCGGCGAUACGCUUUCUCGCCUGUCCUCCGAACCUGGUCUCUUGCCUGUUGGGUCUUGGAAUCGACAUGGCGUCCCUGGUCGGUCUGCGCCUCUGUGCCGUACCUUCGGUAACUGCUAGCAACGGUUGCUGCUGCGGAGGAGGAGGAGUGCAGGUGGGGCUGCAGGGGUGGUGUACGGAGGCUGACGUUAGGUGGUACGGUGCGGUACCGUCGUGUUGGCCGUCAUGUGAGUGCUGCGGCGGCGAGGGCGGCGGCUGCGAUGUGAGCAACGGAGCGAUGGGGCCGACGGGGCCACAUCGGUCACGGAGCAGUAGUAACUUUCGGCGGUGGACGGAGGCGGCGGCGGAGGCGGCAGCGGGCUCCAGCCCUGCGGGGCGAAAUGCGGCGGUGACAGCGACGCUUGGGACCGUGACGGGGCCGCGAAGACUGUACGACAGUCGUGACGUCGUGACGGCACUGAGUUAUCUUCCGCUGCACCUGGCCUGUACGGCUGGGCCGAUGGUGCCCGGAGCGCUACAUGCCCGCGGCGACGCGACUGCUGCCGCCGCCAACGUCACCCGCACCGCUGACCCCGGUGGCGGCGGCGGCGGUGGUGGCGGCGGUGGUGGCGGCGGCACCAGCGGCAGCGGUUGUUCAGCGGCAGCGGGACCUUUGCGGCACCUGGAGGUGAAUCAACUAUCUUAGCUGCCAUCCCGGGUUGGUGGGUGCUUCAGGCUUCAAACCCUAACUAAAGGCUGGCUAAAACCCUAAGCUUUCGACCUUCUGAGUUGAGAGCAAUUCGGACAGGUUUCAAAGCCCCAGCUCGACGUUUUCUCUUUUUGUUGUGACUGUUUGGGGAUGCAGCAGGCAGCGCCGUAUACCGACCGCCACCAUAUACUGCCGCCGUUACGGUCUUCGCCCUUUUGAGAAACUGUUGAAUAGGGCUUAAUGUGCCUUCGGGUUCAAAGACAUUUAAACCUCUUAACCUGUCUGCCUUUAACGACUAACUACCUACCAAACGCUACCUGCUGACCAUUGACCUCCUUAACUUGACUAUUGCUUCAUUUCUGUACAGGUUAACAUCUGUAUAGGAAGAGCCGACGUUGACGCUCUCAUGCGUGUGCUAAGGCGGCUCAAUGCCAUCUCAAUCACUGCUAACGCUGCUACGGCUACUGCUACGGCUACUGCUGCUAGCGCUGCGCCUGCGGGUCCCGCCAGCGCAUCCAUCGCUUCAGCUUCUUCUGCCGUACAAGCCACUUCUGCCACUGCUACUACUCCCACAGCCGUUGGCCCCUCUGCGCCGCCCGCUGCUUCAAUGGGUCGUUCCAGCCCCUGCGCCGCCGCCAGUACGGCUGAAAGCCGCACCGGCGGUGCUGAUGGCACUGACGGCGCUAUUCCCGCAGGUACCAGCGGCAGCCGCGGCUGCAACGCUGCCGCCCCCACUCUGGAUCUUCAGCUUUCCUUGCAGCGCGACUUGGCGCCAGCAGCUCUCGCCGCCUCAUUAGCCUCGGCCGCCGGUGACGCGGUCCGCCAUCUGGCACUCUUUGACCUUGACCUGUCAUACUCCUCGCAUCUUAAACGCGACCCGUGCAGCUACCAGUCGUACGAAGCGGAGUCCCUCGCCGCUGCCACCGCGGCGGCCCGACUCGUGCAAGGUCCUGUGCAUCUGCCCUCCGUUGAAACAGCUCCCCUGCCACGCGAGUUCAGUUGUGCUGCCCCGACUGACGGUGAAAGUAGCAAGGAGGAGGAGGAGGAGGGGGAGGAGGGGGGAGAGGAGGAGGGGGAGUUCCCUGGAGCCACGAUAGCGGCCAGCGCGGCUGCUGCCGCUGGCGCUGGUGGCCGCACUAUGGCGGAAAGCAGCCAGGCUGACCCUCGUGCAGCCGCCAUUAGCUCCUUGAGAGGGGACCCCCGGAGUGAGCUGGAGCUCUUCCCGAUGGCGCCAGUCACUUCCAUGGCCGCUGCCGCCACCUCAUUGCGGUUUGUGGCGGCGUGCUGCCGCCUGCGGCAGCUGCGCAGCCUCACGUUGCAGCCUGUACGCAACCUGCUGUGCGCGUUGCGCCUGCUGGCCGGCCAUCCCACGCUGCGUGUGCUGUGCCUGCUGUGCGUGGAGGAGGACGGCGCGCACGCCACUGAUCGGCCGCUGCUGCCACGCCUACGGGCGCUGGUGCUGGCCUUGGGUGGUAAUGGCGGCGGCGACCCGUGGGUCAGUCGUGGCCGUAUCGGUGGUGGCGGCGGCGUGGAAGCGACAGCACUUGGUGAAGGUGACGGCGGCCGCGACAACGACCCGCGGAUCAGUGGUGGCAGCGUUGAUAGCGGCGUCAUGGAGAAGGGUCCGUUGCUCAGCGACCCAUGGGUCGGCGAUCGCGCCCGCAGCAAGCCAGAGGUGGCGAUCGCGGCGGCGCCAGCUGCAGCGAGCAGGGCUCCCUCUGGUCGUCAAGGGGGAGAGGGGCCCUGGUUGGGCUCGCGUGGGGUGGUGGUGGUGGUGCCGCAAUUGGCGGCAUGGGAGGUGGAGGAGGUAAAUCGAGAAGUCGAGGCAGUGACGGGCGGCAAGUGCACAUAUGUGUGAGCUGCUGGGUGGCUGGUGAGGGAGCGGGUUCAGAGGUGGCGCCCGGUUGGCCUUCGUUUGGCUGAUGGAACUGGGCUUGGGAGGAGUCAAGAGUGGGAGUGAGACCGGAAUCAAAGAAUUGGAGUGAGGAUUAGAGCGAGAAUUGGAGCGAGGAUUAGAGUGGGGUAGGGCCUACUUUGGACUGAUGGAUUUAUCGUUGGUGAUCUUUUCCUCUAUGCGACAGGAGCUCCCCCAGGUUGGCUUGGGCCCGUAUAGAUGGGGAACAGGAUGGGGGCCAGCGUUAUGGGUCCUAUGGGAUCGACUAGAUGAUCAGUUUCAGUUCGUGUAGUUCGGUAGUUUGCCCGACACUGAACUACUGAGUCUCUUGGGAAUUCGAAGGUUAUGAAUUUGAAGGUUAUUCAGAGGCUGGGUUGGCAUCAGGGCAAACAGCAAUCGCGUGGAGCGAAUCGGGUUUUAUUAAUCGGCACACAGUGUCCGUUGCUCCUGUAGCUGGCGGCUUCGUCAACCGCAACGGGAAGAAGGCCACGCGGGGUAGAGGCAGCUAUUGGGGAUGAUGUUGGUGUUGCACAUGUACACUUCGUGUGUAGGCCUAUUGUUGGAUUGGGUUGGCGAUUGUGGAGGUCUAGGACCAACGUCCUUUCGUCUCUCGCACUGCCGUACGACCAUUUUUCUUCGCGUCAGGUUACUUUUACAGAACUAGCCUUUGCCGAUACGUCGUCGCUUACUUUGGGCUAUCAUGCGCGCAUGACCGGUAAGGGGGCCUCGUUUGCCACGUCCACUGCCUAGGGCAGUUUUGAGUGAACGAGGCACGGGUUCUGCUAAGACGAUGCAUGAUUUCUCUGGAGGUACAGAAUCUAGUCGUCGAUAGCUCAAUACAAGCUCGGAGCUCUGAUCGCGUCCUUCGCAGGUCGUUUUUGCACUGUGCCAACGACUUCGACAGCAACCGCAAAUUGUGCACCGGACCAAUUUUGGAAUUAUUUACGUGUGCCCUAUGCAUUUGAUGCCCAACGCUAUUCUUGCCUCGUCACAGUAGCGUUUUCGCAGCCCUCCCUCAACUUGCGGGAACUUUCGCGCUACAAUCAAUCCUUGCCUAUCCUUAAUCACAACUUCGGUGAAACACCAACGGGAAACAGUGCGAAGUCCAGUGACCUGCGUAUAAACCUGCCAUGAGGAUGCUUGUCGUGUUGGGCUUAUUGCUGUGACGGACACCGAGAGCUGCUUGACAUGAGCACCGAAUACGGAGAGGACGAAGUGGCUGAUGGACUGCUGCGUCUCGCAGCUCAAUUGCAGACGUUUGCAGCAUCUGUCCUCGGCCUGGAGCUUGAUUACGGUAAGUGCCCUGCUAAGUAUCGAUGUUCUGCGGCUGGAGUUUCUGGCGUUGCUUCCCUGGCAAGGCCGCAUUACAGGACAUCGUGCAGCUUUGGCGCCAUUCAACAUUUUGUCCGUUCGUGUCGUGCCCGCAGUCACGCCUGACAUCCAAGGACUAAGCGGAUGGGUCGCGGGUGCCCGUCCAUCUACGACGCACCCUGUGAUUGCACAUUUCCGGGCCCCGCGGGAUUCCGAAAAUGCCGCACCCAUCCUCGCUGCGCUGCAGCCACGGAGUCUGCCUCCCGAGCACAACGAAUAUGUAUCCCUGGCGCAGUACUUGCAUGAAAUUCCCGCUGAGCUUCUCGCAGACGACACUGCGCCCAGGAGCGCACACUCGCGCGCACCCUCCCAUCGGCACACCACCAGCGCAGCUGCAGCAACCCCUCCGCCUGCGCCUUCCGCCUGCACCACCUGCCAUGCACUACCUGCAUACAAUCCCAGUCAUCCCAACCUAGCAGUUCUAUAUGACGUCAUACAGGACCGCGCAGCGCUGGUCACUACCAGAGCAGCGCCAGAAACACUUCAGGAAACAGCAGACAACGAAUCCGCCACGGCCACCGCUUCGCCAUUGCCGCCGCCAGCGCCUGAGCCACCACCUCUGCGGUUAGCACCAACACAGCCACUGCCGUUGGGUGUCGCCACCGUGGGUGCAUCCUGGUACCCGGGCUGUAGCCUGGCGGACUGCCUCCGCUUCCCAGCGGCAGCCGCCAGCUGCGGUCUGCUGCCUGGCGGGGGUGGCAGAGUGGGUGGGGGUGGGGGUGGCAGCAGCGGGGGUCCACCGGGAGGUGAUCAGCACCUCCGCUUUCUGCUGCUACAGCUGGUGGCGGCUGUGUGUCAUCUGCACAGCCAUGGCUACGACCUAGGGGGCGGUGGCGGCAUCACCACCGCCACAGUGCUGCUGCAGCCCGGCGGCUGGCUGCAGCUACUGCCGCCGCCAAUGCCGCCGCAACCGCUAUCGCAGCAGCAGCAGCCACAGCAGCAAUCUAUCGGGAAGCAGCAACAGCAGGUGGCUGCGCCGCCGCCGAUACCGCUGCUUCCGGCAUGCCUGCGACGCCCCUUACCAACUUUGCCGGCGUUGACCCGUGCCUGGCAGCACCACGCGCUGUCGACGCUGGACUACCUGAUGCUCGUCAACCUCUUGGCGGGGCGCCGACUGGGCGAUCGGACCUUUCAUCCCUUUGUUCCCUGGGUUACGGACUUCUCAGUGCCGCCGCAAGAGAUGCUGGCGGCGGCCGCCGCCGCUAUUGGCGGGAGCGGUUGGAGCUGCGGCGGUAGCAGUCGUGGCGGCAGCGGUAGCGGUGGGGCCAGCGGCGGAGGUGCCAGCGGCGGCGGCGGCGGGGGCUGGCAUGACCUGACGAGGUCGCGAUACCGGCAGGCGAAGGGGGAUCUGCAGCUAGAUGUCACAUUUUCAUCUUCCGAAGUGCCGCACCACAUACCGCAGGUGGGGUGGAGUGGACUGGGGCUAGGAAACACAGCAAAGGGAGGCCGAUGUAAUGGGAUGAUGAUAAAAGGAAUUGGAUUUCCGCUAUAGGGAAAUGGGGGGAAGAGGUCGGGUUGGGGAUGGAAGGCACGGAGCUGAAAGCCUGCCAGGGCAUAUAGCUGCCGCCGGCUGCUCGCGCACCGCGGCCCGCGUGACAUAAUCGAUUACCCUACUCACCCCGCGCAAAGCCUCAUCACUAGGGGGUUCCUGGAGGGAGAGGAGGGAGAACAAUCCACAAACAUAAGCAACAGCGACAAAAGGUCAAACGUGAAUUGCUAAGGCAAGUUUUUGCCAGGGCUGGGCAUCCCUUUCUUACCGCCAUCCUCAACGAGCUCAAGCGCCCACUUGAAUACUGUGUUAAAGCAUUUUAUUCCGGGUUUCACGUCCCGUCUUUUAGGGCCAACGAAGCCCUAGCCCUAAUGUCCAUCGGCCCAUCGGCCCCUGCCCACCCGCUGCCUCUGAGCGCCACCCCGCCCCCUCCCCCCUUGGUAUCCCCUCUGGUAUCUGCUUCACUCGCCAGUGGUUCGUCUUGCCCCCUCCCCCCCUCCCUGCCCACCGCACCGCCAGGAGCCGCUGUCGGAGUUAAGCUUUUGCAUAUACAUGGCACGUGUCACGCCGCGUGCCGUACUACAGCGUGCCGUACGGUCCCACUUUGAGCCUCGGGAGUACCCUCCCUCCCUGGAGACUAUGUUGGCACGUACUCCGGACGAGUGCCUGCCGCAGCUGUACACGGACCCGGGGAUCUUCAGGUGCGAGGCCGGGUUUCGGAGCGGGCGGGGAGGAGGCAUGGAGGUUGGAUUUUGUGGGGUUGCCAUUGUCUGUUUGUGUAGGCAACGUUGGACACUUGUUAGGGUUAGGGCCCACGAGGGUUGCCAUGGAUGAUGGGUGAAAAGGAUAUGGUUUGACCUGUGUGUGUGUGUGGUGGUGUGUUUGUUAUAAGUGUAAAGAUGAGAGGGAUUUGCAUGAAGCGAGAUCCUAUUAAAAGUUCCCUCUCCUCUCCACCCUCCCCUCCGUUCCGCCCCUCCUCAUCAUCAUCAUUCUGGACACCAGCUGUUUAAUGCUUUAGACGUUUUCACUGCAGUGCAUAUAACUCCUGCUCCCCCCCCUCCGCCCCCUCCACGACAGCUCCAUCCACCCGGAGCUACCUGACCUGCAGCUGCCCGAGUGGGCCAGCAGCCCGCAGGAGUUCAUACGUUGGCACAGGUGCGCGGGUGAUGAGGGCGGGCGGGGAAUGGAGGAGGAACGCGCGAGAGCGGGCCAGAUGGGUGGCCUGCGGAUGGUUGAGGAUGGAUUGGGGGAGAGGGGGGAAGGGCGGCCGGAGCACUAAACUAGAUUCAAACGCACAUGUGGGUGCAACCGAGUGCCGUUAGAAACUGUUACACACCACCCAGGGCUCCGGGGCCAUGCAUGUUGCACCCACACAACAUGUGGGUGCGCCGCCCUGAGGAUAAGUUCACUUGCCUGUUGCGUUGCAAAGACAUUUCUACCUGAUAAUCCAUGACCCUGUACCUUCCCCCUCCAACCCCACCCCACCCCUGCAGGGCCCUGUUGGAAUCCGACCACGUCUCCCGUCACCUGCACCACUGGCUGGACCUCUUCUUCGGAUACAAGCUGGUGGGGGCCGCAGCAGUGGCGGCGAAAAACGUGUACCUCACCAACACUCAGCCGCAGACCGCUGCAGCGGCGGGGCCAGCAGCAGCAGCAGCCUCAGGCCCAGCCGCUGCCGCCAUGGCCUGGUCCACGGCAGUGGCGGAGGGCUCCGCAGCUUCGUCGUUGCUUCCCUACGCACCCGUGGGCAUGCACCCGCCGCUGUUCCUGUCGCCGCAUCCGCCGCGGCUGCCAUCCCCCCACCCUCCGGCGCCCGCCGCAGCCGCCGGUCCUGCCGCCGCCAGAACCGGGACCUGCGGUGGAGGUGGAGGCGGAAGCGUAUCCACGCACAGGCAUCAUCGCCGCGGGAGAUUGCCAAGCGGGGAUUUAGUCCAUAGUACUGGCAAUGCCGGUGGAGGCUGUCGUGUUGGGUUUGGCUCGGGUGCGGGCGCAGCUGAAGGUGGUGGUGGUGGUGGUGGCUCCAUUGUCUCCGGCAUAGGCGCCGUGUUGUGCCAGCUUGACAGCUUGGAGCUUUUGGGUGCGGUGGCCGCCAGGGAGGGUGGACUGGGGCUGCAUGAAGACUACUUUGCCCCGCUGAUGAAACCGCUACCGCUGCCGCGGCGGCGGCCGGAACCGGCAUCUCCCGCGGCAGCAGCUGCCCAUGAUUUAGGGGCAUGUAUGGAGCUGGGCUUUGAGGAGGAGCCCGAGGAGGCGGAAGAAGGGGAGGAAGAGGGCCUUACGAAAGGGUUGGUGGGGUCGGCGGCGGCUGUCGGCGGCAACACCACGGCCUCAGCGGCAGGCGGGCGAACCUGGGGACAGCAGGGGGGUAUGGCGGAGGAGUCGGUGCUGGCGCGGAAGCGACAGGAUUGCUGGGUGAGUUUCGCGGGGCGCGAUGUGCCCCAUGCGCCAUUCCAGUCCCGAACACGAGGGAGGGAAUGGGCCCGGAGUCAGGGCGGUUGGACUGCCGGGUUGGAGUGGAGGGCUUGCAGUGUGGGCGGAGCUGGGCCGGGUGGAGUGGGGAACGCAAGUGGGCCCGAGAAGUGGGCGGGAGGUGUGAGUGUGAGGGGAGGGGGGCCCUAAAGGACGGCACUAGGGAUCAUUCAUGGAGAUGGUGCUAGAGAGCGUUACAUGGAGAGAGGAUGGGCGUCAGUCGGCCGUUGGGUCGCCGAGGAAUAUGCGGGAACUGUUUGGUAUGUGACUUGGCUUUGCCAGGGCACGUAGAGCGGGGUGAAAUCUACCUGCAGUGGGGCGUGGAGAGGGCUCAGCAGCGAGCGAAGGCUGAUGUGCAAUGGCUGGAGGAGGUUCUGCCUAAACAAAAGCAGGGAACAAACAGGUAAGGAGUAUGUGGGGCACAGCAUAUACACAGUACAUCAGGUAAAGCGCCGUAGGCCAAGUCUCCAAGCCAAGCUCACGGGGGUUCCAAGGCAGGUCAGGAGUGUGGUGCCUGAUCUGGACCUGCUUUGCAUUGCUUUGUUUUUGCUUUAGUCGCCUAAUCUGAUUUUUACCAAGUACACGCGCUCACGCAGAGGCGCCUGCGCGCCGUCCCACAGGCGAUUGGUCAGGUGGCUGUGCAGCUGUACCUCGGGCGGUGCUGCUACGGCCCGCAGCAGCAUGCGGGGUACUGGCUUCGACUGGCGGACGGACUGCCCGCUGCGGCGAAGCGCUUUGUGCGGCUCUGCUUCGAUCCGCUGGUAGGUGGGAGCAGGGGUUAAUGCUGUUAAUGCGUCCUUCCUUAAGUCGUUUUUUUCCUGAUGUUUUAGUGCGGAAAAGGUAUUUUCAGGGAUCCUCUUGUUCUCGCUGAUCACUUUUGUGGGUGUGGUGCCAGUGCGCGGGUUAGGAUAGGAUGGGUGGGAGAGGGGCCCCAAGGAAACACGGAUUGCCGCUUUGGAACUAGGAUCCUGGAAUUUACUUCCAUAUCUUGGAACUAGAUUUGAAUUAGAUAUGAAACACCGGGCUCUCUACCCGGGUCACCUUGCCCAUGCCUUGUUUUCCCACUAGACCUGAGCAACUGACGUUAUCGGGCCCCCUCUCCCGUUUUACGCCAUGAAUCUCCCCCUGCAGACCACCUCGGAGCGCCUCCUCAGCGACCCUUUCUUCAGCCCCGCGUUGCAUGCAGCACACGAAUUGCUGUGUACGACGCUGUACGACGGCAAAGCUGCGGCAGCAUUCAAUAGUACACCAGCAUCGCUUCCGCCGCCUCCGCUGUUGCGAGUACCAGAGCGACUCAGCGCUCUGGCAGCGGUUGCGACCGUUGGAACACGGUUGCGUCCGGUCUUGGACCUUUGCCUGCCACAUAUCAUACAUCUGCUGUGGCAAGCCGCCGCCGUCUGCAACUCUCUGGGGCACGGCCCCGCUGCUGUCGGCGGUGGCGGCGGCAGCGGCUGUAGCACGAAUGCGAAUGGUUACGGUGCCGUCGCGGCGUGUUUCCCGCAGCCACCUGCUGCUACAGCCACGGCAGCAGCCACAUCCACAGUGACGGGAGAGCCAACCCUGGCCACCGAGGUGAGCAGCUGUGUGUACGACAUCCUGAUGGCGCUGCUGGGCCUGCUACCUCCAGAUAAGGUUGCGGCGCACGUGUUGCCGUACGUGUGCGCAUGCCUGGCGUCCUUUAUUGAGCAGCCGCUGGAUGGCGGCGGCGGCGGUGUUGGAGGCCCGCGGCAGCGGCGGCGGCAACUUGCCCUACAGCACCGGUUGUUGUCGGCCUCGCUACAGACGCAGCUCCUGGGAGGAUCGGAUUUGGAGUUAUACAUGCAGCACGUUCUGCCGUUCCUGCUGGCGGCGCUGCUGUGCGGCGAGGAAGGCUCGUCAUCGGGGACAACGGCAGCGGCAGCGGAUAGCGCCGCGGCCGCGUCCGGGCCGCCCAGCGGCAGCAGCGGUGGCGAUGCCGCUGUUGGCGGUGUUGCGCGCGCCCUGGCCGUUUCCACCAUCAGCGACGCCGCCGCCGCGGCGGUGGUUGCGCUGGCGGCGCGGCUUCCGCUUCCGCUGGUCUUAGAACGUAUUGUAAGCCCUCUGCUAUCGUACAUGACGUUUGGUACGAGCGUACCGCGUCUGCUAGCGCAGCUGUGUGCGGAGAUGGGCGGUCAGCUAACGGCGCGCCAUGUGGCGCCUGCGCUGCUGCAACUUGCUGUCGUACCAGCGCCGCCUCCGCCGCCGCCACAGUCCGUCGCGCCGAGUCGUGGGGUGGGUCGCGGCAGCAGGUCGCAGCAGAGCUACUCGUCAUUGAGAGCUUCGGGCGGCACAAAAAGCGAAUUCACUUCAGCAUCCGCCUCUAGCGCCGCCGCCGCCGGCACCUCAGAGUCGGCAGCGACAGUGCCGCCGUCACCGCCUCCGACAGAGCCGUGGCUUCAGCACCAGAUCUACACUUCUCUGUCCGUACUUACUGCUGUUAUGGACCUGCUCCCGAGGGAAUACAUCCCGCGGGUUUUCCUCCAUGGGCUUGCACCUUCGUGGGUCCUGGGGCCAGCCUCACCGUCGACCCACGGGUCACCCGCCGCCAGCCCGGGUGUGGCGGAUGCUGCCCCUCUACCGCCGCCGCCGCUGAACCCGAUGUCCGCUGCCGCCAGUCCCCGUACGUCCAUCACCGCCGCCGCGGACGGCGUUCCGUCGCUGGUGAACUGCUUCCUGUAUCCGUUGUCGUACCGUGUAGCGCCGGGGUCGCUGACAAUGCUGGCGGGCCUUGCACUACGGGCCUUUGCCCGCCUGGCCCGGCCUGAGAACGUGGCCUGGGUCGUACUCCCGCACCUCACGCCUCUGCUCUCCUACGCGUCGGCGGCUCGCCGUGCCUCCUAUCGAGCUAACGGUACAACGCGGUACUGGGGGGGAUCUGACGUUGCACACAUCCACGACCAGGGUCUGCCGGCGGUGGCGAUGGCGCAGUACGGCGGCAGCGCGGGCGCGGCGGCAGCCGCUGCUGCCGCCGCCGCCAUCGCCAGCCAGGGGAACGGUUCCAACGCAAGCUGGACGCUGCACCGCAGUCGAUCUUCACCGAGCGGCGAAGGCGUCGGCGGCGUGGCAGGCGGUGGAAUUGGGAGCGGGGGAUCCACAGCGGCCGCGGCGCAGGGCGCGUGUGAUGAUGAGGACGGAUACUGGGAACUGGUACACUGCGUGUACGGGUAAGCAGGGGCCCCAUGGGCGGUCAGUUGUCAUUAUUGUGGCGCCGAGUGAGGACCUGGCUUGAUAGGUCUGAAGUGUGAAAGAGAGAGAUGGACAGAGGGAGCGAACAUUGGAGCGUGUAAAUAUGUAUGUAUAUGUAUCUAUAAUCUGUACGUGAGAAGCUCAUCAAUCGAUACAGCUAAAAAUCUGAAAUUGUCGGACGAUACUUACUUGACCUUCCAUCAUUUGUCAAAUUUUAGCUUGCGCAAUAAUGGGUGCUAAUAAUCGGCAAAAGGAACUAUAAGAAAAGACUUGUAUUGUAUAUACAUACAUAUACCGUUAUGUUGACUUCAUGCAAGGGCGGUGCUGUGUCGCGGUGGGGCUGGGGUAUAUAUACAUACAUACCCUCGAAUGCUCUCCUGCGCACCCACCGCCACCAACAUGGCACUCCGCCAGCACAAGCCGCGUAUGCCGCACUCCAGAACUGCCAACCGUCAACCGCCCUCGCUGCAAAUGUAGGCACCUGGUGGAUUCAUCUGGCUUGCUGACGGUUCGGAACUUGCUUCCCGGCUGGCAGAUUGUGGAGGCGGGGCUGUCGAGGCGCCUGGGGUGGUCUCCGGCCGCCGCGGGGCUGUGGGGCGUUGGCGGCCUUGACAGCGGCCUAGGUGGCAGCAGCACCGCUGCGGGUAGCGCCGGUAGCGCGGAGUCGGCAGCGGGAUCUUGCGGUGAGACGACAGCAGGGACGGCAGAAGGGGGCGGCGGCGGCGGCGGCGGCGGCGGUGCUGCCGCCGCUGGCAGCGGUGGUGGCGGCGGCGGCAGCUCGCGUCGGAGCGCUCUGUCUGCUCUGGAGAUGCAAGUACGGCAGGAAAUUGCAAGCAAGCAGCAGCGCCUGGCGGCAAUCCACGGCACCCACUUGUUCAUCAAGGAGGUCGGCUGGUCAGCGCCGACAUCCCUGGCGACGGCGGUGCCGCCACGGUCCUCGCCCAAGGAUGUGCCGUACGCGGUUAACGGCGGUAUUGGUGGGGGACAGGGGGCGUUGUCUGCCGCCGGCGGAGCCGGCGGCGGCAGCACCGCCGCCGCCGCCGUGGGUGGCGGCGGCUAUCACUUUGCACUUGGUGGCGGGUACGGCUUCGGGCCCCACGGAGUGGGACGCGAUGUCUGCGGCCCUGAGGAGGGGUUUGUGUGGCCGCAGCUCUUAGCGAUAGGGUCGCCGACGGUGGUUGAAGGCUUGGCUGUUCAAGGCGGCGGCGCCGCCGCUGGUAUGGGCGUCACUGGAGGCAGCGGAACCGGUGGUGCACUACUGGGCCGUCAGGCUAGCCUGGGCGGCGCGUUGGUGUCAAUAACGCCCAACGGCGCUCGCCGUACUGGCAGUGGAGGUAGUGGCGGCGGCGCAGCAGGUAGCGGCGGCGGCCGCAACACCACUGUCCCUUUGGGGACGGUUGCGGCGGCGGGCGCGCGGGCAGCUAGAGGGCCCGGCAUAGGGAAGGAGGCGGCAGCGCCCAGGCGUGAAGUCGAUUCGCGAACGCAUGGCGUGGGCCCCUCCUCCUCCUCCUCCCCGGCCGUCUCCUCUUGCGGCGGUGGUGGAAGGGGACGCUCUGCACGGGUCGAUGAUUUGGGUACGGCGGCUGAGCAGGAGCAGGCCAAGGCGGCGGGCCCUGCAGGGCAGCAUGUGGGGGAGGCAGCAGCAGCAGCUGUAGACUCGCUGUCGAUUGCGAAGUCCGACAGCAGCAACACCACAGCCUCAAACUUUUUGCGCCGUCGAAGCGAUCGGGAUUCGACUCCCAUACAGGACGCAUUUUCUGAAGGAGAUGAUCUUGCCGCUGCGUCUGUUGUGGCGCCGGUUGGAGCUCCCGCCACUCCCACCUCCACGGCAACCACCUCCAGUGUCAACGCGCCUGGCAAGGAGAUGAAGCAAUCAUGCGAUAGUGGAAGUGCUGUGACGUCGCCUGUGACGGCGUUGACGCGGCAUGCUGGAAGCGUUGUUGCGAGCGGCCAUUCAUCGGCGGCCGUGGAAGCGAUGGCAGAAGGUUCGAAGCCUCAGCUGCUGCCGCCGCCGCCGGCUGUUGCCGUUGUGGCCGACACGGAGGUGGUUUCGGGACGGGAAGGCGAAGGCCCACGGGAGUCGCCGUCAACGGGAGCCGUACCAGCUCGCACUGGCCGUGUCAGCAACGUCAAGCGGCCGCCCGUACAAACUGAACUGAUGACGGCUUCUUCAGAUUCACCGCUGUACCCGCCACCAGCAACGGAACGAAGUCCAGAGGAACUAUCACCUCCGCCGCAGCCGCAGCCGCCACCACCUUUACAGCUAGGCAGGCUGGCAGGAGUCGACGGCAGCGGUUCAGCCGUUGAGGUGCUAGGGGCAACGGCGACCGCGGCGGCGGCGGCACUGCCGCCGUCGCCUUUUCCAUCCUCGGCAGCACCAGAUGUCUUGACCGCGCCGCCGCCGUCGCCGCCAGUGGAACCGUUGCCGCCGCCGCCGCCGCCAGCCCAGCAUCACCUGGGCUCCGGCACCUCAACUGCAUCGCCGCAGCAGCCUCCGCUGGCGUCAGAAGCGGGUUGUUCCGCAGCGGGCCGGUCUGCCGGCCGUCGCGGCAAUGGCGCCGCCGCCGGACACUCCCUAUCGCCUCUACUCAUACCGCCACCCGUUGUGUCCGACAGCCAGGUUCCGGAUACUGGGAGUCAGCGGUGGCACUGGCUGCCGCCGCUCACCUCCGCGGCGAAUGCCGUACAUACUGCCGCUGCUGCGGCGGCAUGUGGUGCGUCCAGCGGUAGUAGCUGCCGCGCUGGAUCGCGCGCACGGCUGCUGGCGGCAGCGGCCGCGCCUCCGGCUGCUGGCGAUGUAUGGAGCUUGCAAGCAGCUGUCGUACACUCGUGGCCGGCACAUCGAGAUCGCAUUCGAGCUCUUGCGGCGCAUCCAGGCGAAUGUGCCGUACUGACGGCGGGGCGAGGGAUGGUGGCGGGACGUGAGGGGCCCGUCGUCCGCGUAUGGUCGCUGGCUGACUGCCAGGCACGUGUACAGUACGGUGGUCAUCGUGCUGCCGUACACGCGUUACUGCUGAUCCGCGCGGCGCGCGCCGGUGGUGCUGUAGUCGCGUCGCUUGACGCAGCUGCGCAGUUGCAUGUGUGGGCGUACGACACUGGGCAGCAAUUGGCCUGCUUUGCGCCCGUGGGGGGAACUGGCGCCGGCGGAGGACUUGCCAGCGGAGGCGGCGGAGGCGUUGGCAAUGCCGCCGGUAGCGGCAGCGCGGCCGCCGCCGCCGUUGGCGAAACGCCUGUUCCGUCGGACUCCUCGCCGGAGGUUUCCUUGAGCAGCAGCGCUUGGGGCGAACUCAUUGACAGGUACAUUCAGAAGAUGUACGACACCUGUGUCUGUAGGGCCGGCUGAAAUGUCAUCUCACGCUGUCUUGAGCGCUUUCUCUGACUGGUUCUGGUCAGCUGAUCCUUUCUGGCCACUUGGCAUAGAAGACGGAUGGCACAUGUCUGCAUGCAUGUACGUGCGUACGUAUAUACGUACGUAUAUACGUACGUAUGUAUGUGUGUUUCGUUGCAUAGUGGACUGGCAAGCCGCCGGCAGCCCAAGCUGACAGCGUUGUAGCGCCGGGUGGUGUCGCGAGGGACGCUGUCUCUCCGUCCCUCCAUAAGGCUGUGACCCAGGUUUGGAAAAGCCCCAACCUUCUGGAAGAAUCUUGGUACACCAUCGUAAAUUAUAUAGGAAUCCUCCAAAGCCGCUUUUAGUUAACGAAUGUCCCGGAAGCGCAGUCGCCUUCUUAAUACACGCUUGAAGCCAUGCAUUCUGCACAAGCGUUGUUUUUAUUUAUUACCAGGAACUUUCACGCGUUGCUUGUCAUUAUCGCGCAGGUCUGGCCAUUACUACAUGUCCAGCCAGGGUUUAGAGCCCCGAGGUUGGCAGUCCCUGGGGGGCCUGAAAACUAGUCGCCAAUUGUCGGCAUCAGCGGUGGCGGCGGCGGCGGCGACAGAGGCCUCGUCCGGACCCGGGGCGGGGGCCGGCAGCGGCGGCGGCAGCGGCGGCGGUAUCCAGGGACUGUCGAGCGGUGCGGCGACACAGCUGGGUGCUGUACCAGCGGCCACUGCGUCGCCGCCGACGCCGGGGUUGGCAGCCACUGCGGUGACGGCAGGGCAGGCUGGGGCGGGAGCGCUGCGUCUGGGCUUCACCACUAUGUGCUGCGCGCCGGAGGAGCACCGGGUGCUCUAUGCAGGUGGGAGUUCGAAUCCCGGUCGGUGCGGGCGUUUUUCUUUGGCGGUUAUGGCGUUUGAAUGAUCAGGCGGGAACGAUCAGGGAUUGGACGCGAAGGUGAAAUGUGCCCUUUGGCGCGGUCCCGUAAGGCGCACAGCAGGUUGUGUAAAAACUGAUGAAUCUGUGGAAAUGGCGCAGCUACAGACGUCCGUGUGUGUUUUUCAUUGCGUCUGCUUUUAUUGUUCCAGCUUGCAGAGCAAUGCAGUUGUGUAGAGUGGGGGUAAUUUAUCGACGUCUAAGUUUGGGCCACCGCUUGUCCAAGUCCAAUACGCGGACUGUGUGAGGGACAGCUCUUCACAUGUCUGGCAUCGCUGUACGACGGUGCUGUACAUUGAUGGCUUGCAGGGACCGCCGAUGCCAGAGUGUGCGCCCUUGACUUGGAAUGCCGUCGGGUGGUGGCCGAGUGGCUUGCGGCGCCGGCAAUACGACAUGACAGCGAGGAUGCCGUCACCGCUCUGUGUACGCCUGGCGGCGGCGCCGACACCGCGGCGGCAACCUUCGGCGCCGGAUGGCCGGCGGCGCAUCCAGAGGUGGUGGCGGCGGGCUCACGGGCCGGCCGAGUGGUGGUCCUGGACCGCCGCUGCGGUACGGCAGCCGCGGCUUUCCGUGCCCACGGCGGCGAGGUGACGUCUCUCGCCUCCAGCGGCGACUUCACGUUGAUCACGGCGGGGGCCGACAAGCAGCUGCGGCUGUGGGAUCUGCGGCGUUGCGCAGCAUUGGGCAGCGGCGGCGGGGGCGGCAGCGCUGGUGCGUCUACAUGGACUACAUGCACUACCGGCUCGGGGUACGACAGUCGUACGGGUCCUUGGUCAGGAUGGCAGGGCCCGCGGGGCUGCGGCGGUGCCGGCGGCGCCGCUGCGGAGCCGUUUCGGGGCAUCCUAGACGCCAUGUCACCCGUGGCUGUUGGCGCUGCCGUGAGCGGAGGGGACGGGCUGUACGGCGGUGGGAUGGCUCCUGGCGGGGCGCUGGACGUGACGUUCCCGACGCAGGCGCUGGCACCGGGGGCCGCGGCGGCGGUUGCUUCGUCGAUGCUGACUGGGGUGGCGGGACCACCUCAGCUGCAGCUGCAGCAGCACCCCCAACAGCACGUAGCAUGGCUCGGUGUGGCGGCCCCGGCGCUCUUGCGGAGCUACCCGCUGCCCCGGGAGUGCGUUCAGGUGAGGGGGCCGCCGCCGCUGGGGAUGUGUGCUGUGAGAUGAGGGCGAUGCACGAAUGCCGUGCUACCGUGCUGUCAACGUGUUGUUAUGUUGUCAUUUUCGGCGUCGUUCAGUCAUCAAACAGACUUUUAAUGUGCGAAAGACUUGGUGAUGUGAUUUAGUCUCUCGCAGUUUUAGAGUUCUUCCUUUCGCAAUAUCACAGCUGCUUGCGCGUUUGCCUGUUUGUGCGUUUUACAGAAAACCAGUCACACGGAUUCGGUUGUUGUGGAUAGAACAUCCCAUUAUGCUUCACUAUUAGCAUGACGCAAGACUGUUACCGGUAGCCAUGUAAUGGUAUUGGUACUGGUAGCCUUGGUAACUCGGGACAGCGAACGUAUGAGCAUGGGUGUUGAAAUUCCGUUGUCCUCCAUGACGUUCAAUAGUUUCGAGGCUGACGUACACUCCUCCUAACGAACUGUGCGGCACGCUGUUUCAUAAACCCUGGUCCCUGCGUUCUGCUGUCCAGGGUCUGCGGGUGCUCCGGGAUUGUGUCUUGAUGACCUCUGGCAGCAGCAUUGGUGUCAUGGCGCUGCCCGGGGAGGCCGCCGCCGCUGGCGGUGGGGGCGGUGGGCCCAGCUUUGUACGACUGCGCAAUGGCCGCGGCGGUCGGGAGUCUGCAGCGGUCACGGGUUUGGCUGUCCUGCCUUGUAGCCGGUUGCUGGUUGUGGCGGGGGAUGACGGGGCGGUGAGGAUAUGCCGGUGAGGAUAUGCCGGUGACGCAGCAGCGGAGGGAGGUGGGGUGCUGUUGGGCUAUCUGAUUGGUUGGACAGCGCUGCUGGCGGGGGUGGGGGUGGGGGUGGGGGUGGGGGGUUGCUGUGACAUGACACUGCUGUUGCUGCUACUGCUGAUGCUGAUGCUGCGUGUGAGAGAGGAGGUUGCGUGAGAAUAAAGUACAGGCGGCAAGGAGGGAGAGUUGGAGUGGGGACGGACGGGAGGGGGUAAAGGAGGGGGGGACACGGAGGCCUCCUGGCCCGCUCCUCCCCUCCGGAUAGAGGACGAAUAAGAAUCAUAAUUGUAAUAAUGGGGAGGAGGAGGAGGAGGAGGAGGAUGACUAGGGGAAAGUAAGAGAAUAGUUGCCGAGCCCGUUCCCCCUUUGCUAGUCGGCUGCUAUCAGCAACCACCUGCCCAGGGAACCUCAGCCAGCACCAGAGGGUGGCUGAUGGUGGGGUGCGGGCUGAGAGGGUGUUGGGUUAUUGGACCGGCUAUGAGGGGAUCUCCUAUGAGGGUUUAUAAUCGUACGUAGAAAUGGUUUGCUGCUUGGGCGGGUAAAGGAUGGGGAGUGACCUGUCGGGGCAAACUCAAAUAUUGAUGGAUUUCAAUUUGGAACGCGGGCUGGGGCAGGCGCAGGAAAGCGUUGCAUAGUGCUUAGGCAGCUUAAGGUUACACGAUGGCUCGUGCAGGCACUCUUACCGUAUGUUACGGCGGAUUUCCUUUAUUGUUUAAACGUUAGGUUAUGGCAGUAGGUUGUUACGUGACAAGCGCGCACGUUGUGUGUUGAUUUUCUCUCUCUCUCUCUCUCUCUCUCUCUCUCUCUCUCUCUUCGUUGACCGUACACAUGUAUGCGAGGGUAAUUUGCAUUGUCGGCAUUACUGAUAGGGACAUGACGUACACUUGGCAAAAUGCAUUGCUGCAUGUUUUCCCGUGUUGCGUGUUUGUUGCUGUUUAUUGUGUUAUUGCAAUGAGAUGUUGUCGACUUGUCAUCGUAUGUUUGUGUGGGGAUGUAAUGGUGUGUGUGUGCGCGUCUGUAGCCCUCUCUCUCUUUCUGUGCGCCUUUCAUCGUUAUUCAUGCCGUUCUAGAGUUCCACUGUCGUUCGUCUUUUCGAUUCAGAGGAAAGGCGAUGUUUUGACUCCGGCCCUGUCUCCCGCCACUUUACCUUACGAGCACUUGCUCAUCCAAAUUUCAAACUGCUGACCGGCGCGGGGCGGGGGAAAUGGGGAUGGAAAGCUAAUCGACGGAGGCCCUGUCGGAUACAGUCGGGAGUGGUGGGUAGUUCGGGGUUUACACCAGGCAUGGGGGGGGAGACUGCCGGCGCUGGGGUAGUGUGGGUUGCCUGUCGGCCUGUCACGGUUUGCGCACUUUUCCCGGGGAAGGACCUGUUGCCGGACCUGUUGCCUGACUUUUAAACGCUCCGCCGUGGCCAGUGAUUGCAGCUUGUGAGAGUUUCAGUUAGCGUUAGCGUUAGCGUUUGCUAGUCAUGGUGAUGCAUCGCGCACUGUUGACUUCAUCAUGCUGUUAUUUACUGUUUAUAUUUGACGAGCUAAUCAUCGACGGGCAGGUGCCGUGGUGUUGUGCCGAUGACCACGCUUGCUGUAAAGGCCCCACUUCCCCCCUUUUUAAGCUGCCGCGAUAACCGGUUGUGAGGCGACGUCGCGCGCUUUUGAUGCUUUUGCUUCAAGUUCGGGGUGAGCCGUCCCCGAUCAGGUAGCCGGUGAGGCUGCAGCCAAAGUGCGUUUGUCGUUUGGGGUUAGGGCCCGAGCGGCCGGUCGGGGGAGCUGUGGAAGUAAGAGGUGCGCAUGUGCUUCUCACCAUGAACGCUACGGUACUUGUGGCGUCGCUUUGGUGGUGGUGGUGAUGGUGGGUGCAGGUAGGGAAGGUAGUGACAAGUAUGUUGUGGUUAGCAGUGGCUUGCAUUCACUUGGCCUUUCAUUACCAUGGGCAUGAUACACAACCCGUGUCGGCAUAAACGCUGCUUGGAGUGUUACUGUCUUCGCGAAGACUGCGUGAGUAGUACACAAUGGGUGUUGUGCAAGUACAGUGCGGAGAAACAGGGUUCAUGUUUGAGAAAUGGAGCGAUCGGAAGUCCAACGGCUAACCACCUGCUGCACUUGUCUCAGUUCUCCGGAUUUGAAUUGACAAUAGGUCUCAAUGACUUUUAGCCUUGAUCUUGCAGCUUACUAAAUGACGCAAUCCCGUGCAUGUAUAACGAGGCCAAAAAGGCACCCUAGUGAAACACGUCACAGGCCUCCGCAAGAAAGCAUUAACCUAAUCAUUGUGUGUGCAUCAUCUGGUGUCAAGUUUUCAUCCAGGAAUGCAACCCCCACAACACCCGCAUGCCAGAAGCUCAGGAUGCUUCUUCACCAAUUACCAGUUGUUCAGCUGAUCAUGCUUGGGCGCCACACGGACUUGUUGCCAUGCCAUUAGUAAACGCUUGCAUUAGCACCCAAUUGUUCUAUAACCACAUACACCCACAUCUCCACAUCAUGGGAUGUGCGUUUUCAACUGGCUCUAGCUCUGUAGACGUCAGCUGAUACACACUUCUGCGGAUGGCAGCAGGAGGUGUGUGUGGCCAUUGACAAAGUUCACCAUUUGAAGACACCGAACAUAACAGAAACGGAAUACUUAAGCUCCCCACACCAGCCAACACACAGCAUGUACAGGGGCAAGGUCAACAAUCAAGCGAGCCAAUCCAGAAGGUCUGCGCCAACCUGUACCACCUACCCAGAGAGCAAUCACUUGUACUGACUUCUCACGCCUCCCACAAUAAUCAACAACAUUCUGCAGCACAGCACCCCAGCGGAGUGACCUCCUUUCUAACAGCACUAUGCCAUUGCAGACCUGCCGCAGUAGCACACAACCAGCAGCCAUAACGACAGCGCGUGCAAUAGGUACAAACCUCCUCCCGCCAUGUCGCCGCAAUUCUCUGUAGAAGGUUUUCUCCUGUACAACUACAAAUGUAUGCCCACACGUGCAUGCUCAGUUGCGUCCAGUCCCCAGGUACACACAAGCUGUGGGCUCCAUCCUGCGUGCAACUCCUGAUGUCCAUCACGGCAUCCUGCCAUGGCGCAUACACCAAGUAGAGCCAUGGACAUGUAUCACAGCUUCCGACUUAGUCACCGCAACGAAUAGAUGAUGGCUACCAUGAACACACACAGCUG